GCUUCUGGACCUUUCUGCAAAAACAAAGAAUUUGAGGACUAAACUGCAAAAUUAAUUAAAAGGCUUGAAAUGAAAUUAAAAAAACUGUUUGGACAAAAUGCAAUUUUGGGACCUCAAUUGAGGGACCAAAACGCAAUUAAAAAUAAAAUUGAGUAAAAAACGUAAUUUGACCAAACGUAAAGCGAAACAAAAAUAAAAUUGACAAAACGGACUAAAACGAACCAAUGACCUAAAUGAGGUACUUCAAAGUAACCUCUCUAUGCCAAAAUUUUGUGUGAAAUGACCAAAAUGCCCCUAGGGCUAAAAUUGACCUAAACAGAUUGAAAUGGACUUAACACUGACUCAGACGCAAGUUUGAAAUGAAUUUUAACAAGGUUUACUGAUGAAGUGUUUAAAAAUAAUCUGAAAAGACUCAGAGACAGUCACAAGGAUGAAAAUGGGUCCCACUGCAGGAAAUGACCAAAAUACCCUUCUGUAUGACUUUUUGCAAAUUUUGAAAUAAACUGUGGAAAAAGCAAUGUAAUGAUUCAGAGACACUUUUGAAUGACUUACAAGACAAGUAAAGACAUUUCAAAAGGUUUUAUGCAAGAAAAACAUAGGUAAAAUUGUGAUUGAAAAUACUGCGAGGCAGAGACAAUUUGAACUGUGCAGUUGAAAUUUGAUAAUUGACAAAGUUUGAAAUGAAAUUGGGCCCAGUAUUUUUAGGUCCAAAAACAGGGUAUAACAGCUGCCCCUAUUUAAGUUUCUUUGUCUGGAGAGUCAAGAGACGGAGUCUUUGGCUUGACAGGAAGAAGAUACUUAAAUAUUAGCAUUUGCACUGUGUUUGGACGUAAAAAUACGCCUACCCAUUUUCAAAUAAUAUGCAUGCCAUGCAUCAUUCGGAUUAUGAAUGCAAGACCUCAUGGGGAUUGGAAUUAACAAAAUAUGUCGUAUCCAUUGCGGGAUUGGUAGACAUUGACAAAGAUAGUGAAUAGCAGAGUAACGGGAAACUAGAAACAAGUUGGAUAGGUACAAGCUGUUCUUGGAUUCAAACUAGCCACUUGACCGGGGAUUAAACAAACAGACAACUGCGAGUUGUUCUUAUGGAUUCGAACUGGUCACUUCACAGGGGAUAGAAGUUACUGGACAAACAUGAGUUGUUCUUAUGGAUUCGAACUGGUAACUCACUUGGGGAUAUUGGAAAGUGCGAGUUGUUCUUAUGGAUUCGAACUGGUGACCCGACUGGGAAAAAGAGAAAAUUGGCAAGUACGAGUUGUUCUUAAGGAUUCGAACUGGUUACUUGACUGAAAGCAAGGCAAAUAGACAGGUGCGAGCUUGUUCUUGGAUGCGAACUGGUUACUCCACCGGACAGAAACAGAUAGACAGGUACAAGCUGCUCUUGGAUUGAGCUAGCCACUUGACCGAACGGAAACAUAUUGACAGGUACAAGCUGCUCUUGGAUUGAGCUGGGCACUCGACCGAUAACAUAAGCAAAUUGAUAGGUACAAGCUGUUCUUGGACUUGAACUAGCCACUUGACCAAACAGAAACAUAUUCACUGGGGGUUGGUUUGUUUUGACAAAAUAUAGAUUGAAAUUGACUUGACGUCGAUUUGGUUUGAAAGGUAGAAAUUGACCGAUAUUAUUGGCUCACAAGGUUUUGACAGAGAACCUGACAUGAGUAUUGAAUUGAGACUGAUGUUGACAUUGGAAAUGCAAUAUGCAUGGAUGAUAUAACAGUUUCAUUAAAUGCAUGGGCACGUAAUAUGCAUGGUUAUGCAUGUAUGAAUGCUUGUGAUGCAUGACUGUUAGCAGUUUGUAGGCACGACUUCACCGGGAAGACAAGACAUUAGAGUAUUGGGCACGUAGUGGCUCGUGCUAUAUUACACAUUCUUGGAAAUCCUCUUUGGAGAUGACGUCGUUGGGAGACGUAUCGGAACCAUGGCUGAGGGCAGGUAGCUAAACAACUUGCUGGAGAUAGAAUCUUGGAAAACCCUGACUGGGGAAAACGCCGUUGUGCUGGGCAUGUUGUAGAUAUCGCAUCUGUGGUCAAUGCUUUUUGCAUGUUAUAUUUUCAACUUCCAUUCAUUCAUUUUUUUGCAUCCCAUUUUUGCCUGGAUCGCCCUUUCGGGUUUUCAAUCCACCGGGGAAAUAAAUUCUUUUCAAUGCCCCAUUUUUGCCUGAACUGCCCUUUCGGGGUGUCAAUCCAGCGAGGUGCUCAUUUUUGCCUAAGCCGCCCUUUCGGGUUUUCAACUUAGCGAGCUCAUUCAUUUUCAUGCAUUUUCAUUCUGUUUUUUCAUUCUUGCCAUUGACCACAGAUUAUCUUGGAGGAGAACCUGCUUGUAACACAUAUUGAAAUAGACACCAACAUACUCUCGCUCAUGCAUGUUUCAUUUGAAUGUACCCUGUUGCUCAGGUUUGCUUUUCAAAAUAGACAAAAAGUUUUCAAUUUUCAAAAAAAACGUUUGUUUCAAGCAUUGUCAUUAUCAAAAUAGAAAGAAAAUGUUUUGUAUAUAGCUUUGAAAGUAGAAGAAAAAUGGAGUUUUCAAACAAAAGCAAAGGCUCAAAUUGAUGUAUAAGAGUGGUGGUCAGCCCAAGGCAUGACUCCACGGAUUCAUAAAGCUUGGAAAAUGGUAAUUUUAUUGGUUGGUGGUACAUUGAACACAGUAAUCAUUACAUUUCCCAAAAAACUUUGAAUUCACAAGUACAGAAGCUUCAGAUGAAGAUGGUCAUUAACAGCUGCAGAUGCCCCAAGGGGGACGGUGGUUAGCCAGAUAUAGUUACUUGCCUUUUGUUUCAAUCUCAUUUUUGCAUGAACCGCCCUUCUGGGUUUUCGGCUCAUCGAGACGCUCAUUCUUGCCUGAGUUGUGUUCAAUCUCAGCGAGCUUUUCAUAUUUGUUUCUUUUGUCCCUUAUUUUUGCCUGGACCGCCCUUUCGGGUUUUCGAUCCACCGGGAAGCGCAUUUUUGCCUAGGCCGCCCUUUCGGGUUUUCGACCUACCACGCUGUUCUUUUCACAUUUCUAGGCGAAGUAUUUCUUGACUAUAUCGGCAUUCACUGGAUUUGGAAGUUCUACACCAUCCAUGUGUGUAAGGAUUAAAGCACCACCGGAGAAGGCCUUCUUGACAACAUAAGGACCUUCAUAGUUAGGCGUCCACUUGCCCCUUGGGUCGGGUUGCUGACUUAUCCUCCUUUUCAAUACAAGUUCCCCUACCUUGAAUUCUCGAGGAUGGACUUUCUUGUCAAAAGCAGUCUUCAUUCUUGCUUGAUACGACUGUCCACGAGCCAUGGCAUCCAUACGUUUUUCCUCAAUCAAGUUCAACUGAUCAUACCGGCUUUGGCACCAUUCAGCCUCGGAUAACUUUGCUUCCAUGAUCACACGGAGAGAUGGGAUCUCCACUUCCAAAGGAAGAACUGCUUCCAUACCAUAUACAAGAGAGAAAGGGGUUGCCCCGGUUGAACUGCGCACUGUAGUACGGUAGCCAUGCAGAGCAUAGGGUAACAUCUCAUGCCAGUCCUUGUAAGUAGUUACCAUCUUCUGGACAAUUCUCUUGAUAUUCUUGUUGGCGGCCUCAACUGCACCAUUCAUCUGAGGUCUAUAGGGAGAAGAGUUAUGAUGCUCAAUCUUGAAUUCUUCACAAAGAGCUUGCACCACAUUGUUGUUCAGGUUGGUACCAUUGUCAGUAAUGAUCUUGCUGGGAACACCAUAUCGGCAUAUGAUGUUGUUCUUGAUAAACUUAGCUACCACUUGCUUGGUCACAUUGGUAUAAGAUACUGCUUCAACCCACUUGGUGAAGUAGUCAAUUGCCACUAAGAUGAAACGAUGACCAUUUGAAGCCUUCGGUUCAAUUCUUCCAAUCAUGUCGAUGCCCCACAUUGAGAACGGCCACGGGGACGAAAUAACAUUGAGGGCGUGCGGAGGCACAUGGAUCUUGUCAGCAUAGAUUUGACAUUUGUGGCAUUUUCUGGCAUGCUAGUAGCAAUCAUGUUCCAUGGCCAUCCAAUAGUAACCUGCUCGUAACAACUUCCUUGACAUAGUAUGCCCUGUAGCAUGGGUCCCGAAGGUACCGUCAUGUACAUCAUGCAUUAACUGCUCUGCUUCAUGUUCAUCAACACAUCUUAACAACACCAUGUCAUAGUUUCUCUUGUACAGAAUAUCUCCAUCUAACAGGAAUCUGCUGGCCAAUCUUCUCAGGGUCUUCUUGUCUUGUUUGGAAGCAACCGGCGGAUACUCACGGCUCAGCAAGAACUGUUUGAUGUCAUAAUACCAGGGUUUAUAGUCAACCACAUUUUCACCAGCCUGAUCGAUCACAUCCCCAAUAGCAAACACAUGCGAAGGUCUUUCAAGGCGUUGCACUUUGAUAACUGGCACAUCAUUCCAAUGGUUUACUCGAAACAUGGAGGAUAGAGUAGCAAGAGCAUCAGCCAUUUGGUUCUCAUCACGAGGAAUAUGGUGUAGCUCAACCUUUGUAAAAUAUGUCAGCAAACGUCUCGCAUAAUCACGAUAAGGAAUCAACUUAGCAUGGUGGGUCUCCCAUUCACCCUUUAUCUGAUUGAUGACGAGCGCAGAAUCUCCAUAGAUGUCGAGGUGUUUGAUUCUCAUGUCAAUUGCUUCCUCGAUCCCAAAGAUACAUGCUUCAUACUCAGCCAUGUUGUUGGUACAUUCGAACAGAAUUCUGGCGGUAAAAGGGAUGUGAUGCCCCUGCGGGGAUACAAUGACUGCCCCAAUUCCUUUACCAUAAGCAUUGACAGCACCAUCAAAGACUAAACCCCACUUGCUAUUGGGAUCUGGACCUUCAUUAAUCAACGGUUCGUCGCAGUCUUUGGAUUUCAAAUACAUGAUCUCUUCAUCGGGGAAGUCGAAUUCAAUUGGUUGAUAAUCAUCAAGAGGUUGGUAAGCAAGAUGAUCGGCAAGAAUGCUACCUUUGAUUGCCUUUUGAGUUUUGAACACAAUAUCAUAUUCAGACAAAAGCAUCUGCCAGCGUGCAAUCUUUCCAGUAACAGCAGCUUUCUCAAAGAUAUACUUGAUCGGAUCCAUUCUGGAUAUCAACCAAGUUGUAUGAUUCACCAAAUAAUGACGCAGGCGUUUGGCAGCCCAAGCUAAAGCACAACAAGUCUUCUCAAGCAUUGUAUACCGAGUUUCACAAUCGGUGAACUUCUUGCUCAGAUAGUAGAUAGCAUGCUCUUUCUUUCCAGUUUCAUCUUGUUGACCAAGUACACAUCCCAUGGAUUCAUCAAACACUGCCAAAUACAUAAUCAAAGGCCUUCCUUCCACGGGUGGGACAAGGAUAGGUGGUUCCAGCAGAUAAUUCUUGAUGCUAUCAAAAGCUCCUUGGCAUUCAUCAUUCCAUACAACAGGCUGAUUCUUUCUGAGUAGCUUGAAGAUCGGCCCGCAGGUUGCUGUCAUGUGAGAUAUGAAUCGGGAGAUGUAAUUCAAACGUCCGAGGAAGCCUCUGACUUGCUUCUCUGUCUGUGGAGCUGGCAUUUCUCGGAUGGCCCGUACUUUAUCAGGAUCGACUUCAAUGCCCUUUUGGCUGACAAUGAAGCCUAAUAACUUCCCGGAUCUGACGCCGAAUGUACAUUUGUUGGGAUUCAAUCGAAGCUUGUAUUUUCUCAACCUUUCAAACAUCUUUGUCAAAUAUUCAACAUGCUGCUCCUCAUCUGUUGACUUCACAAUCAUGUCGUCCACAUAUACUUCGACUUCUUUGUGAAUCAUGUCAUGAAACAGAGUAGUCAUUCCCCUUUGGUAGGUAGCACCAGCAUUGAUUAGGCCGAACGACAUCACUUUGUAGCAGAAAGUACCCCAUGGCGUGAUAAAAGACGUCUUUUCUCUAUCUUCAGGAGACAUCUUGAUCUGAUUGUAACCGGAGAAACCGUCCAUGAAGGAGAACACCUUAGACUGAGCAGUAUUAUCAACAAGCACAUCAACAUGAGGUAACGGAAAGUUGUCUUUUGGACUGGCUUUGUUCAAGUCCCUGAAGUCAACACACAUCCUGACUUUACCAUCCUUCUUUGGCACGGGCACAAUAUUAGCAACCCAUUCAGGGUACUCAACUGUCAUGAGGAAACCCGCAUCAAUCUGCUUUUGGACCUCGCUCUUGAUCUUGAGAGCCAUAUCUGGAUGAGUCCUUCUCAAUUUCUGCCUGACGGGAGGACAUUCAGGCUUGGUGGGGAUCCGAUGCUCCACAAUCAUAGGGUCUAGACCUGGCAUAUCUUCAUAUGACCAUGCAAAAAUAUCCGGAUAUUCCCGGAGGAGCUGGAUGAUCUUACUUUUAACCUCUUCCCCUAGAGCAGCACCGAUCUUGAUUUCUCGCUUGUUCUCCUCGGUACCUAUGUUGAUAAGCUCAAUCUCUUCCUGGUGAGGCUGAAUGGCUUUCUUUUCUUGCUCGAGUAACCGAGUGAUCUCAUAUGGUAUGUCAUCACCCUCCUCAUCUUCGGCUUCAUACACAGGGAAUUCAAAAUUUGGAGGGACCGUAGGAUUACUGUGUUCAACGGGUUUAUUAUGGUUCAACCUGCAUAUAAUGAUUGGAUGAUUUUAGAAAGGGUUGUUUUUUCAUGCAGAUUUUUGAAAUUAAUAAGAAAAUACAGACUGUUUGGUUUUUUCUGGCAUUACCAUUUUUUCCAAGAAAAAGGCACUAAAAAAAAGGCAGUCGUGAAAGAAACGACAAUUUUUAUUCAUCAACGGCAAUGCCGAAACAAACACGCCCUUACAGAAAAUAUCACUCUCGCAUUGGGCAGAGCGAGAGGAUUGUUAUUUUUGAAAACAAAGCGCUAAAGCAACAAGACACGUUACUCGGAAAUAUGCAUGAUUGAAGGAAUGUCAAUGGCAUCCCAAUCUCUCGCAAUGCCUCCCGGCGUAACGAAAACAAGCCUGAGACCAGAUCCAGUUGCUUCUUCAGAGAUAGCAUUAACAAACCCAGCACUGUGGAAGACUCCCGAGGAAACCCUUGACGACGGGGAGAACCCGAGACCUUCUUUACGCUUGUUCUCACAGAGCUGUAUCACCUUGCCCCAACCGGCAGUCUGACCGUCCUGAAUAACCUUCUGAGCAUCUUUCAAUGAAGCCAUAGCAGCCCCAGCUUUCUUAGGCUCUGCACCCUCAAUGGUCAAACCUUGGAAAGCAGUCCCUUCAGCAGACCCUGCCUCAAUACAAGAGAAGGAAGACAGCUGGCUGACUAAGUAUGCCUCUUCACCAUGAACGGUAACAAGCUUUCCAUUCCUCUCAAACUUCAACUUCUGAUGUAAGGUGGAGGUUACCGCGCCCGCAUCGUGUAUCCACGGUCUUCCCAGCAGACAACUGUAGGAUGCAUUAAUGUCCAUCACUUGGAAGGUAAUCAAGAAAUUCUCAGGGCCAAUGGUUAUCGGCAAGUCUAUCUCUCCCAGCACAUUCUUUCGAGAUCCAUCAAAAGCUUUGACCAAGAAAGUACUCCUCCUCAAAGGGGUCCCUCGGUAGCUCAACUGAUCUAGAGUUGUCUUGGGCAUUACAUUGAGGGAGGAACCGGUAUCCACCAACACAUUUGAUAUCAUGUCUGAUUUACAAUUCACCGAGAUGUGCAAAGCCAAAUUGUGACUCUUUCCCGCUUCCGGCAACUCUUCUUCACUAAACCAGAGGUUGUUACAAGCAGUGAUAUUUCCCACUAUGCCACCGAAACGAUCUACCGUAACUUCGUGGUCCACAUAAGCCUGCUCCAGCACUUUCAACAAGGUAUUCCUGUGAGCCUCGGAGCUCAAGAGUAAUGACAAGACAGAUAUCUUCGAAGGAGUCUGUAGUAACUGAUCAACGAUCUUGUAGUCACUCCUCUUUAUUAUCCUCAGAAUCUCAUCUAAAUUCGAAUCCUCUAUGGAUUUGCCUGACUGGUUCACAUCUGUAGCAAUGGGUGAAACAACGGUUGGAGUUGCUUCUUCAAUUGGUGGAAUGGUCGGUGUAACUACCUUCUGCUGAAAUAACGGCGGGCGAACCUUCCCGCUUCUUAGUGCUGCAGAAGUCCCUUCGGCAAUAUUGCUUACUGUGGCAAAGGAGGCUAGAGGCACCUCUACUCCAUUUUCUAUCAUGGUAGCAUUGUAUUUGUAUGGAACAGCCUUGUCUGAAACAUAAGGAAUUGGUCCUGGCAACCUUAUCACCAAAGGCUCAGCAUUCUUCUUCAAAGGUAUACUCUUGACGGGCGGAUCGUGAAAAACUGGCACAAUCACGCAAACAUCACUGACAGUCAGAAAAUUAUCAUUCAUCAAGCUUUGGAUGUCGUCUUGAACAGUAUAACAACCCAAAGGAUCACGGAGGCAUCCCAGACACUUGGCAUGAUCAUGGCUGAACAGAGAAGCUUUGCACAGCUUGAUGUGUAGAGGUACCAGAGGAGUUGCGACGUUGCGGACAUCAAGUCUAGGAGCUUCCUCGCACACUUCGAUCAUAUUCACAGCGGCAUGAUUUGGAAGAGGAUUGUCGAGGACAUGUGGGACAUUAUUCUCAAAUGUCAGCUUUCCUUGAUCAAUGAGCUUCUUCACGAUAUACUUCAAAGCAUAACACCCCUCGACAUCAUGACCUAAAGCACCUUGAUGAAAAUCACAUUUGAGAUCAGACCUGAACCUUGGAGGCAACGGAUCAAGUGGGGGCUUGCCCUGUCUAGUUGUACAAUGCCCUCUCUGGAGUAAAGUUGGAAGCAAUUCAGCAUAUAACAUCGGUAUCGGAGGGAAAGUAGGUCUAGCUUGCUGAUUUUGUUGUUGUUGUUGUUGAACCGGCAUCUGUUGUUUCAUCUGUUGGGCAAUUGCAUUGACGGGUACUUGAGGUUGACCCGGUGGCAGAGGGUACUGAUGAUAAAAUGGCGGGAAGAAAGGAUGCUGAGAAUACGGCAUAUAUGGGUAUGACGGAGGCAUUUGAGCUGCAUUGAUAGGAGCAACGGUAGCCAUGGAUUGACCGGCUCCAGCUGACACCAUCCCCACUUCCGUUUCUUUCUUCUUGUGGUGUCCAUUACCAUACCUCUUCGAUGCACUCGUAGAAGAUUCAGCUUUCUCAAACACAAUAAUUCCAUCCCUGACGGCUUCCUCAAGACGGGUUCCCAUGGUGACCAUCUCCGAAAAGUUGUUCGGGGCAGCGAUGAUCAUCCUCUCAACAUAAUCUUUCUUCAAGGUCUUUAAGAAUGUCUGGGUCAUUUCUUCUUCAUCUAAAGCAGGAGUGAUACGGGCAGCUGCCCCUCUCCACCUUUGUGCAUAUUCACGGAAACUUUCCUCUUUUUUCUGAGAUAGGGACCUGAGGAACUCCCUAUUCGGCUUCAAACGAGUGUUAAACCCGUAGUGGCUCUUGAAAGCAGCGGCUAGUUCAUCAAAAGUAUGGACAUCGUCUUUGCUCAGACUAGUAUACCACUCUGCAGCAUCCUCCAUCAGACUGUCUUGGAAAUAAUGGAUCAUAAGGGAAUCAUUGUCCUUGUAGUUGCCCAUCUUCCGGACAUAUUUGACAAUAUGAUUUUGAGGACAAGUCAGCCCGUUAUACUUGUCGAACUCCGGGACUUUGAACUUCUUUGGAACAUCUACCUUCGAUACUAAGCAGAGGUCCUGGGUUUUAAUAGAGUCUCCACUUCCCCUGUUGGCCUUAAUUUCCCGUCGGAGCUCUUUGGCAAGUUCUUCCAUUCUCUCUUCCAUAGUCCCGGUUGUGGCAAUACUCUCACGGUGCGCAUUAGCAUGGACAAUUUGAGGCACCGUAUUCACAAUGGGUUCGGUAACAGUUGUUGCAGCUUGAGUCAAGGCGGUACUAACAGGAGUUAAGUUUGCCCCUGAGAUUGGGCCACUGUUGAUAGUACCAGAGGUCCCUGCCCCUGUAUUAGCAGUAUAGUACGGCGGAAGUCCGUAAGGAAAUCCGGAUGGCAUGAUAAAGCGGGGAUCAGUUGUUACAGUAGGAGUCACAUUUGCAGCUGUAGAAACUACAGGAACUGGUUGUUUCUGAGCAGCCAACAGAGCAGUCAUAGCAUCAUGAGCUUUGGCCAAUUCCUCCUUUAGAGCUGCCAAUUCGGUACGGAGCUGAGAGUUCUCUUCUUCCAUAGCCCUUUUCUUUCUUCUGUAUUCUCUGGUUCGAUCAAUUCUAUCAGGUUCGUAAACUCUCUGAGCACGAGCCACUUUUCACACUGAGGCAGAGAAACCAGGAGAUAGUGAGCACUUGGAAGCCUUUGUGACCAAUGCAUGAUGCAUAUGAUGCAUGAUAUGCAAAUGCAAAUGCGAAAGACUUAUUUUUUUCAUCGAAGGAUUUUUAAACAAAUUAGAAAUCUUGCAAAUAAACAAAAUAACAUAUUUUCAAAAGGAAGACUUUGAAACUUUAACAAGAUAAACAAAUGAAGCCCUCAAGCGUAGGAAGUAGUCGGAGCAUCAUUGGACUCGGAAUCUGAAUCACAGUAUCUGUCAAAGAAGUCUCGUCGUCCUCUGGCUCUCUUGGAAUCCCUCAUAAGCAGCUCGUCUUUCUCUUCCAAUUCCCUCCGGACCUUAGCUAGUUCCUUCUUCAACAUCAGAUUCUCAUGAGUCUUCUGCUCAUCUCUACCAUCCAAAGUCAUGAUUAGAUUCUCGGCUUGAUCGUACCGAGCUUUCCAUACUUGCUUCUCACGACUCUCCAUAGCUAGAUGCUCCUGAUACAUAUCCUGAGUCGCGGGGAGCAACGGUAGAGGCAUAGAUGGAGUAGAUGAAGACACGUAUCUCAUAGCUGGAUAAGGCAUACCAAUCUCCUCAGCUCGAUCUAUCACCCACUGAGUAUAAGCCUCAUGAGCAACACCGGAUCUCACACCUAGAUGCUUCACACUCUUCCUUCGAACCUUGGACCAAGCAUCCAUGAAAGCUUUCCUUUGUCCGGUAGGAGCAUUCGUGUAGAAGAAAAACUCUGGAGAUGUAGCAAGAUUGAUGGGCUUCGACUUCAUAGGGAAACCAAAUUGUCUCAUAGCAAGCUCGGGAUUGUAGUUGAUUCCUCCACGAGUACCAAGAAGAGGUACAUUGAGAAAGUCUCCACAACCCAUAAUGAUUUCCUUCACCUGAGCGGCCGGAGUGAGCCAUACGACCUCAUUAGGAGUAAGGGCCAUAAUCCGCUGCGAGUAGGACCAAUUCUCCGAGUUGUCAUGGAAGGAACUCGGAAGGUGCGAAAUAAACCACCUAUACAAAAGAGAUGUGCAGCAAAGAAUAUACCUACGGCCCUUGAGAGUCCUGUCAUGAAUGGCGUGGUAGGUAUCCGCUAGCAAAGUAGGAACCGGGUUCUUGGAAUGGAAGAUCUCGAUAGCAUUCAUGUCCACAAAGUUGUCGAGGUUCGGAAAGAGAAUGAGCCCGUAGAUAAGAAAAGCAAGAAUAGCCUCGAGUGUAUCCUGACGAGUAGUACCGAGAUUAGCCUGAUCAAGAAGAUACUUCGAAGUGAACCCCCGGAUGUGAGACUUGGUAAUAAGAUGGUUGGAGACGUCGGAGGUCUUGAGGUAGAGAUCCUUAGCAAUAACCAGAGGAGUAAGAGAAGUCCCGGGACCGGUGAAAGGCGUCUUCUCGGCUAUAGGUAAACCCACUAGAUUGGAGUAAGCCUCGAGAGUAGGAACCAACUGGAAGUCCGGGAAAGUGAAGCAGCGGAAGCUCGGAUCAUAAAACUGUACUAGAGUGUGCACUAGCUUCUCGUCCACAUCGGUUCGGAGCAAAGUAAGCAAUCCCCCAUACCGGAGUCGGAAACCUGUUUGACUCUUGACCUUGAGUGCCAACUCUCUCAAACUAACCAAAUCCACUUCCUUGAACUUGUAGCACUUAGUCUUCUUCAUACCUGUGAUUAUUUACAAAAAUUUCCAUUUGUUUAAGCCCUUCGAUGAAUGCAUGAAAAAAUGUUUAUGCAUGAAUGCAUGUAUGCAUGAUUGUGUUGUUUAGUUACAAUGUGGGUUGAGGUUCAAAGUAACAGGGCCACGGAUGGACACGGCGUCCGGUGAACUAAGGCUUUGGAUGGUAGUAACCAAGGUUCUAACACAGUUCCCAAACUGCAACCUCUCUCACAUAUAUCAUGGUAGUACAGGACGACACCCGUUCCAUGAUUAUUUGUGAGAAGGUCUAGUUUGAGUGUAGUAUCGCGUGACGACUAAAGUUUGAGACAACACUCAAUUUAGCCACCGCACUACGUCCUAAAAAAGGCUAGGAUGGGUUUGGCAACUACGGUUCAUAGCUUCGUCGAACAAUUGAAAGUGAAGCCUAAGCAUGACAACACACGCCGACAAUAUCACCUUCAAAAUGCCUCAGCUAUGUGAGAUUGAUCGCAUAAUUCAAUACACGAGGCAACCCCCGGAUCGAAUUGUCGAUUAUAUCUCUACCUAAACAUAAGUUCACUCAGCCCGGGUAUAGGACUUUUGAUAUUCUCACCCCACACGUUAAAUGAAAAUAAACAAGUAUUCACAUGUAAGUAAUAAAACAAAGCGUAAAUAUAAACUAAAGAAAACUAGGCGCGACCCGCUAAAAAUUUCCCCAGUGAAGUCGCCAUUUCUGUUAUCAUGGUUUUUGGGUGCCAAACCAUCAAUUGGACUUGAACCUUUUGACCGUUGAUAUCUCUUUUUUUCUUGGGAAGGGUAAAAGGAGAAAAACCCUUGAGUUUCCGGAUUCGGGGGUCGUUUUCGCUACGGGAAGGUGUUAGGCACCCGGAGCGAUUAUGAUAUUCCAUAAGAACCGCUCUCCUUAGUUUAUUUCUACACUUUAGUUUUAUUGCUUAUUUGUAAAAAAGGAAGGUAUGAUUAGUUAAGAACGGAGGUGAGAAGAAGUAGAAUUUGAUUUUAUUUCGGCUUGGAUGAGUUUUGACUCAUUGCCUACGUACCCUUUUAAGGGAUCAAAACCGUUCGUAGUUCUUGCUCAAAAAAUGGUUUUUUUUGUUUUUGUUGGUUGAUUUUAAGUUUGAAAAGAGAUUUUGAAGAAUAGAGACGAGAGGCCUCAAGGGCAUAAGGUUUGGAAAGUGUGAGGUGGAUUUAGUCAUUUUGCAAAAAUAAAGUCCAAGAAGGAUUAAGAUUCAUUAAAAGUUUUACUUAAGAAAAUAAAGGGAAAAUAAGGAGUUUUGACUCCAUUUUAUUUUCAAAAAAAAGGUUUUCAAGUGAGAUUAUUUGCAUGUUUUUUUUGGAAAAAAGUUGGAUUUUUAUCUAAGUGUUUAAACCUAAGCGCUUAUCUAACCAUACAAUCCUAUGCAUACAUCUAAGGUGAGUGUGUGCGUGUCGGUGCGUCAUAGUGUCCAUAGUCCAUAUUACAAAAAUUGCCUAAAUACAUUCUAUGGCCCCUUUGCCAAGCUACAAACCAAUGAUAACAAAUUACAUUACCAAAUGAAUUAAAACUUGCAAAAAAAUAAAUGCUAAGCUAAAGAAAGUGGAGAGGGUGGUGGAAUGCUAUGAAACGUAUGGCACAUGAGAUGAAAUGGUUAGUAAUCAUAAAGCACACAAUAGUAGGAAGUAAUUAAAAGGAAAUGCAUAAAGAUGGCAAAGAAAAAGUAAUAAAGUGGUAAUAAACCUAAAAAACAUUUGAUAUGAUACCUAAAGAUGCUAGUGACCCAUAAUCAUCACAUCAUGGCAAUUUAGAAAGAAAUUUUGUUUCAAGCCAUGACAUGCAAUUAAUGGAGGCAUAUGCAUGCAAAAUAUCACACCAAGUUCAUAGAGAAUUUUGCCACUUUAUUCCUUAAGACUAAACUUGUUGCUUGCAAAACAAGAAAUUCAUAAAAUUAUAUUCAAAAACAGCAAACAAAAACACAUUUCCAGAGGCAUAUUCAUCACCAUAUUAGGCAUCCUUUAUCCAUGUCAUAAUAUCAAAAUGUCAAGAACAAAACAUAGCAAAAUGCAUACCAAAAGUGUAAAAACACGUGGAAUUAGUUCAUGCCAUUUUAACAUUUUUUUUUAUGCAAGAAACACCAUAGGAAUACCAAAAAUGUAUCAAGAAAACACUAGGAUUUUUUAGGAUUUGUUUUUAUAAAAAGAUGAGCAAGCAACAGGUGUGAAUAGCAAAAGAGCAGUGUGAAUAGCACAAAAAAUAGCAGAAAACGCAGAAAACCAAAAGAAACAAGCCCAAGCCCAACCUAAAAGAUCCGGAUGCAUGGGAUCCACACGAUUGAUCCAGGAUUCAAAAACCCUAGAUCAAACGGCCAGGAAUCAAAGGAGAUGGACCGGACUGGACCGGUCCGGUUCGCUGGCCUAUAAAAGUGGAGGAACACCGGUUUUUUCAUUUCUCUACUUCCCUUUCUCUCUCUAAGUUCUUCCCUCUUCUCUCAUCUCUCACUUCUCUCUAGAAACCUCACCGCCGGUGAGGAUGAAGCUACGGCGGAGACCUUGAAGGUCCGCCGGAAACUUCAUCUUCUCCGGCGAGACUAUGAACUCCGGUGACCUAAAAUUUCCAGAACUUAAAGAUUUUUGUAUUUUCUGGUUCGUCCUUUAACCCUAAACACGAAUCCAGCAGUUGUUUUUUCAAAUACGGUUUGAAACGACGUAGAUCUAAAAAGUUCCGUACGGUUUUGAAACUGAUUUUUGAUUUUUUGAAAGGAAAUGUUUAGGUCGUUAAAGAUCUACAUCGUUUCGUUGUUCGCUGCUCUUCUUUGAUGUUUGUUCUUGCUUUCAAAACUUAGAUCCUUAUGGAUCUAGGUUUUGUGUUUACGGUUACGGUUUCGUCUUUGAGUUCUGGAAAUUUUGGAUCUGUUGCUUGCGUGAUAUUUUUUUAGGUUUAACAGUGAUAUUACUUUUGAGAAAAGAUUCUGAGUUUUACCUAAGGUUUUGGUUGAAACCUUUAAUGGAGGAAAUCUUUGGAAAAACUUGAAUGCUCUUGAUGAUUUUGAUUCUUCUGCUUGCUUUUGGACCGAAAAUAAAUCGGUGAUUCUCCUUUUCUCACUGAUUCCGUUUCUUCAUCUUCUUCGCCGGUUUAGAACUUUGCUUCUUUCCUUCUUCUUUUCACGCUCUGUGAUCAACGCUUGAGCUUGCUUCAAUGCGAGCUCGCGUUUGGAAUUGCAGAGAAUGAUCAAUUCGAUGAUGAAGAUUCAACAGAAUCUCUGAGAAUUGAUCCAAAAAACUGUUGAUUCUGAUGAAUUUUGAUUUCUGGAAAACGGUUAGGGUUUUGUGUUCUUGGUGUUCUUGAGAGAUUCUGAGAAACUUUUCUGUUUUGAUUCACUUGCUGAGAAAGAGGAAAUUGGAUUUGUGUUUAUGAGUUGGCGUGUGAUUCAUGGCUCUGAGUGGCACUGUACACCUUUUAUAGCAUGACAUGUGUGCAUUGGAACCAAUAAGAAAAGGACACCUGGACUUUGAAAAAAAAGGCACGGCCUUGGCAAAUUUGGCUUCUGGACCUUUCUGCAAAAACAAAGAAUUUGAGGACUAAACUGCAAAAUUAAUUAAAAGGCUUGAAAUGAAAUUAAAAAAACUGUUUGGACAAAAUGCAAUUUUGGGACCUCAAUUGAGGGACCAAAACGCAAUUAAAAAUAAAAUUGAGUAAAAAACGUAAUUUGACCAAACGUAAAGCGAAACAAAAAUAAAAUUGACAAAACGGACUAAAACGAACCAAUGACCUAAAUGAGGUACUUCAAAGUAACCUCUCUAUGCCAAAAUUUUGUGUGAAAUGACCAAAAUGCCCCUAGGGCUAAAAUUGACCUAAACAGAUUGAAAUGGACUUAACACUGACUCAGACGCAAGUUUGAAAUGAAUUUUAACAAGGUUUACUGAUGAAGUGUUUAAAAAUAAUCUGAAAAGAUUCAGAGACAGUCACAAGGAUGAAAAUGGGUCCCACUGCAGGAAAUGACCAAAAUACCCUUCUGUAUGACUUUUUGCAAAUUUUGAAAUAAACUGUGGAAAAAGCAAUGUAAUGAUUCAGAGACACUUUUGAAUGACUUACAAGACAAGUAAAGACAUUUCAAAAGGUUUUAUGCAAGAAAAACAUAGGUAAAAUUGUGAUUGAAAAUACUGCGAGGCAGAGACAAUUUGAACUGUGCAGUUGAAAUUUGAUAAUUGACAAAGUUUGAAAUGAAAUUGGGCCCAGUAUUUUUAGGUCCAAAAACAGGGUAUAACACAUCCAAUUGUAAGUUUUAAGACAUUCUUUCUACAUAUUGAACGAUAUUCAUAAAAAUUAUUAUUCAUCAACACAUCAUAUUUUGAGUAACUACAAAAACCAGUGUGUUUCAUUUCAUUGGAUCGAUGCACCUAAAAUUGGGGGAAAGAAAAAAUAAAUGGCAUUGGAUGAAACAAGUUUCAUUGUACUACAUUCCAUUUUAUUUUAUUUUUUUACGAAACCAAACAAUGAAAUAUGGUUUUAUCUUGCUCCAUUCUACUCCGCCAUUUUCCAUCAAUACAAACAUUGUAUAAGACUUUGUUUACAAGUUUGGAGGAGAAUGUAGCUUUCAAAAAAUUAUAAGUCAUUUUUAGAAGAAAACAAUUGUCAUAAAUUAUAAGUCACUUUACAAUGUUAAUGAAUUAAUGUUAUUUUCGUUUCGAUUAUACCCUUAACUGGUUUUUUUUUUUUUUCUUUUCAAAUUCUUUAAAUUAAUUUUCCGAUAUAUUUUUUUUUAAAUAUAAAUAUAUUAUCAAAAUAUAGAUUUGUCAUGACCCACCACAAUUUAGUAACAAGGCUCUUCAAACUAAAUCAUGACCGUCGGUGGGUUUUCUUUAGACUUGGAAUUAUAUUACAAAUGUGAAAGUGAGACCAAUAAUUGAAUUGCUUUAUAUCAACAAUGAUGACGAGCUAGCUGUAAAGAUUGUCAAUAAUGGAAACAUCACUUUAUACUACAGUGUUGAACAAGAUUAAAACAAGAUAUUGAAAUUAUUGUUUAGAUGUGUCUAGAAAGCGACCUGAAUCUUGCAACUCAAUGCAGUUGAUCAGAUCAGUCCAAGCUUUCACUGCCGUAAAUCAAAAUCAAACCCAUCAUAGUUGAGGAAUUACAAUUGUGGAAACUCAGCUCACCUCGAGUAUAAUUGGGGUGUGUUUGUUUCAAGUUAUAAUUGUUGAUUCUCGGGAAUAAAAUGAUAGGAAUGUAUAUGCCUAUGUUUGUUAUAAGUUUACUAAAUUUUAUUCCCGGGUAUAAAAUGUUCCUCGGAAUAUAAAAAAUUUCCCAAGGAAAAGGGUGGGAAUAAAGUUCCCAUGAAGAUGGGAAUAAAUUCAUAAAUAGUUUACAUAUUAUAAUCCCUAUUUUUAUGGUUCUUAGGAAUAUUAUAAAGCUAACCAAACAUAUUUUUCCUAAAUUCCUUGGAAUAAAAUUCUCAUAUUUAUAUUCCAAGGAAUGUUAAUCCUAAAAAUAAAUUUGGUAAACUUGAAACAAACAUUUGUGAUUGUACAAACCAUCCAAAGACUUGUAAAUUUAAUAUUAUGUUUCCUAAAAUGUCUUAUAUAUAUAUAUCACAUUGUUCUUUUAAUUUUUUUUCUUUCUUUCUGAAAUAUCAAAUAUAAUAUCAAAAUAUUGAUUUUUACCUCCAAAGUCUUUUCUUCCAAAAUUCAACUCGCAAAACUUCUAAAACUCAAUAUUUAACUUUUCAAUUAUUGCAUCAUUUUUUUAUUGUAUGAAUCCAUGUGUAUUGUUUUUAGAUUUCCAAAGUGUUGUAUUUUGGUUUUCUAAAUUCUAUUUUGAAAGAGAAUAUCUAUCGAAAUUGUUACUAGGUUGAGUCACGACCAGGUUGCUCUUUUAAGACAUUUCGUGGCACUGCUUAAAAUUGUGCAAGACAGACUAUUAACCACACUGCCUCCAGGAUUAAAAACAAGUUCAACUACAAUUGUGCGGUCAACUACUGACUACAAUUGUGCGGUCAACUACUGACUGUAGAAAACAGUUCGAGUAUUACACCUCCAAUAUGGUAUUAAGACAACUCUUUUAAUAUUGAAACUCAUAUGGUACUGUGACCACUCUAUUAUAGUGUUGAAACCACUCAAAUAUGGUGUUACCACCAUUCUAAUUUUUAACUUCUCCAACAAUGGUACUAUGAUCACUCAAAUACAAUGUUACUACCAUUCUAAUUUCUUCAAGAAUUGAAGAAGAAUAUAUUUUUAAGCUCAUUCUUAUUAUACCGAAAGUGGACUAUGAUCUUAAGAUAUUAUUUAUUCUUAAGAGACAUAAUUAAUUGAAAGGACUAUGCUCUUAAGACCAUUCUUAAUUCCGAAAUGACAAUAUACCGAAAAAGGAUUGUGAUCUUAAGAACACUUUUAAUAUCGAAAUGACAGGAAAAAUAAAUAAAUAAGGAGAAGAAUAACUCGUUAACACAAGCUGGAGGGAGAAGAGAGAAAGAGUUCUCGACAAAGGGGUGGGAAUAGGUCAAACUAGGCUUUGAUAGGUCUAAGCUUGGCUUACAAAAAAUUUUGCAAGUCUGAGUCUGGUCUAUGGCCUUUCAGCCUAUAUUUUUGGCUUGAUCUAGCCUAUUUAAAAGUCUGCCUAGCUUAAAAACCUAUUUACAGGUCUACUUCAUAUUAAAGUCAUUAAAUAUUCAACCUAUUUAAGUAUAAGGCCUCAAAGCCUAUUUAAAAAGUGCAUUAUUUGAGUUUUUUUUCUUGAUUUUUAUGUUUAAUAUAAAUUAUAUUUUAAUAUAAAUAAAAAAUAAAUUUUAAUAAUAUGCAUAAAUAAAGCCUAAGCCUAGCCUUUUUCGUAAACAGGUCAGGCUUAAACCGGAAAAUUCACAACUAACUUGCGAACUUCUAAUAAUGAUUAAAUUAAUUAUUUAAUAUUUAAUUUAACAUUUCUAAAUAAUAAAAUAUAUAUUUUUUCAACAGUGCUUACUUCAUUUACAUAAUUUUGCACCCCCUUUAAAGGUACACCUUAUUAUAUAAGGACUACUAAUUUAUGUGUCCCAUUUAAUGUGAGACUUUCACUUUUUUCAAUUCACACAACAUUGGUUCUACCCAACAUAAAAUUUUGUGUUUAAUCUUUUAACUCAAUUUUCACACAUGUUUCAACAAUGUGCCACCAAAUAUUUUCUUGACCCACCACACUUUAGCUAGCUAAAUCAUUGCAAACGUGAAAGUGAGACCAAUAAUGACUAGCUAGCUGUAAAUAUUCUCAAUUCUCAAUAUUCUUAUGAUGCUAGCGACUGCAAAUUGGAAAACCAAUAAAUAACAAUAUCAUUUUACUUGAUCAAGUUUGGUUGAUUCCUGCACACUUCAAAGAUAAAGUAAGUUUUCUAAAAUUGUUGGAAAGAUUGUCUAGUUGUUGAACCAAAAUUAAGCCUCCUAUGUAUAUUUCUACAGCAGAGUUGCUCAGACGGCUUGAACAUUUGCUGAAAGUGUGCUGGAGUUAUGGUAACCAACAAACAAUCAUGUUUUAACAAUUUUCAGUCGAUAUCAAUUGGUCUCAGGUAAAUUGCUGAAAGUGUACUUGAGUAUGCGCUGAAUGUGCCGAAAAUACUGUGUUGGAAAGAUCAGGUAAAUAUCAAUUUCAUUUUGCUUCAUCAUUCAUUCAAAUAUAAAGUAGGUUUUCUGAAAUUGUUGGAAAGAUUGUCUAGUUGUUGAACCAAAGUAUAUUUCUACAGCAGAGUUUCAAUGAACGCUUGAACAUUUGCUGAAAGUGCUGGAGAUAAGGUAACCAACAAACAAUCAUACUUUAACAAUUUUCAGUCAAUAUUUUAAUUAAUUGUUUACAAAGGUUUAUAAAUCAACUAGAGAAACCAACUCGAGUUGAUAAGGUAGAAUCAAACAUAGUCUAUAAGGAAUUUUUUGCAGUGAAUAUUACUCCUAAUUCUCUAAAUUCUAGCUGCUGCCUGCUGUCGAGAAAGAAAAAUAUUGUUAAAAAGUACGUCCUUACAACAGUAACACAAUUGAGGUAGAAAAUAAUCUCAUGGUUGUUUUUCUUUUAUCACUUCCUCAGAUUUUCUAUUUGUAUAUGAUUUCCAAUUUUGGUCUUCACUCUACUUUUCUACAUGGUCCUUUUUUCAUGACUUGUUUAUCAUUUUCAAAGAUAAAUUGGGUAUUCAGAGAUUGGCUUAAAGGAUCUUAAACUUUAAUAUUGGAUGAACUCCCAUUUGAACUUUCUCAAAUAUUUGUUUGAACAAGCUAAGAAAAUUCUUUGAUGAAAAGUGUGUCAUCAACUAUCAUUUUUCAAAUUAACAGACCCUGAAUGAAGAAAAUCUUCUUACAAUAAAAGAACAUGAAUGAUAUGCUAUGAGAAUGAGAUUCAUUAUCAACCAUUGUAUUUUUCAACAUACACAAACAUAUGUCUAACUUUGAUGUAUUGAAAUUCAUUUAGAUGGCGAGUUUUCUAACUGAUUUGGCGAAGACCUAUGUGGAGAAAUUGAUAAAUGGGGUGAUCGCAGAGUCAAGUUAUAUAUGUUGCUUCACGUGCAUUGCUAAUGAUUUUGAAGAAGAAAGAUCUAGAUUGGAAAUAGAAAGCACAACAGUUAAGCAACGUGUUCAUGUGGCAACCAGUAGAGGAGAAGUUAUUCAAGCUAAUGCUCUUUUUUGGGAAAAAGAAGCUGAUGAGCUCAUUCAAGAAGACACCAAAACAAAACAAAAAUGUCUUUUUGGAUUUUGUCCUCAUAUCAUAUGGCGAUAUAAAAAGGGAAAGGAACUGACAAAUAAGAAGGAGCAAAUUAAAAGAUUGAUUGAAAAUGGAAAGGAUCUUGUAAUUGGACUCCCUGCUCCUCUUCCAGAUGUUGAACGUUAUUCAUCCAGAGACUAUAUUUCUUUUGAAAGUAGAAAAUCCAAAUACAAAGAGCUUUUUGAUGCUCUGAAAGAUGACAACAGUUAUAUAACCGGGUUGCAAGGGAUGGGGGGCACAGGAAAAACUACAAUGGCCAAAGAAGUGGGGAAGGAACUUAAGCAAUUCAAACAAUUUACUUACGUCAUCGAUACAACAGUGUCAUUGUCUCCUGAUAUCAGAAAGAUUCAAGAUGAUAUCGCUGGACCCUUGGGAUUGAAAUUUGACGACUGUGGUGAAUCAGACCGACCCAAAAAACUAUGGAGCAGAUUAACCAAUAGAGGUAAGAUUGAUCAGAACGAGGAAAAGAAGAUUCUUCUAAUAUUGGAUGAUGUGUGGGAUGUUAUCGAUUUUGAUAAAAUAGGGAUUCCUGACAAUCACAAAGACUGUAGAAUUCUUGUAACCACGCGCAAUCUCUAUGUCUGCAACAGAUUAGGAUGCAAUAAGACAAUCCAACUGGAGGUCUUAUCUGAUGAAGAAGCAUGGACCAUGUUCCAAAGGCAUGCUGGUCUAAAAGAAAUGUCACCUGCAAGUUUGCUCGACAAGGGCCGCAAAAUUGCAAAUGAAUGCAAAGGAUUACCGGUUGCAAUUGUUGUUAUCGCCAGUAGUUUGAAGGGCAUACAAAAUCCGAAAGUGUGGGAUGGAGCCUUAAAAUCCUUGCAAAAACCCAUGCACGGUGUUGAUGAGGAAGUUGUUAAAAUUUAUAAAUGCUUGCAUGUUAGCUAUGAUAAUAUGAAGAAUGAGAAUGCCAUGAGACUAUUCCUCUUGUGUUCUGUAUUUCGAGAAGAUGAAAAAAUUUAUACCAAAAGGUUAACCAGACUUGGCAUCGGAGGAGGCCUUUUUGGGGACGAUUUUGACAGCUAUGAUGAUGCUCGAAACCAAGUUGUUAUAUCCACAAAUAAACUCCUAGAAUUUUGUUUAUUGUUGGAGGCCGGUCGAGAUCAAAGCAUCCUGAGAAUGCAUGACUUGGUUCGUGAUGCUGCCCAAUGGACGAGCAGAGAGUUUCAAAGAGUAAAGUUAUAUGAUAAAUAUCAAAAAGCAAGGGUUGAAAGGGAGAUGAAUAUUAAAUAUUUAUUAUGUGAAGGCAAGCCUAAGGAUGUGUUUUCCUUUAAGCUUGAUGGUUCCAAGCUUGAGAUUCUAAUUGUCAUUAUGCAUAAGGAUGAAGAUUGUCAGAAUGUGAAAAUCGAAGUCCCGAACUCAUUCUUUGAAAAUAUUACGGGCCUUCGAGUUUUUCAUCUAAUAUAUGACCAUUAUCCUAAUAUAUCUCUAUCAUUACCUCACUCAGUUCAGUCGAUGAAAAAUAUUCGAUCUCUUCUCUUUGAGCGUGUCAAUUUGGGUGACAUCUCUAUUUUGGGAAACCUGCAAAGCCUUGAGACUCUUGAUUUGGAUGAUUGUAAAAUUGAUGAAUUGCCUCAUGGAAUCGCAAAACUAGAGAAACUGAAAUUAUUGAACUUGAAUAAUUGAAGAAUUGCAAGGAAUAAUCCUUUUGAAGUGAUUGAAGGAUGCUCAUCACUUGAAGAGUUGUAUUUCACAGGUAGCUUUAAUGAUUUUUGCAAAGAAAUAACUUUCCCUAAACUACGAAGGUUUAAUAUUGAUGAAUAUUCAAGUUCAGUGGACGAAUCAUCAUCAAAGUGUGUGUCUGUUUUAUUCAAAGAUAAGUUUUUCCUAACUGAAAGAACACUCAAGUAUUGUAUGCAAGAAGCAGAGGUUCUUGCACUAAGAAGAAUCGAGGGGGAAUGGAAAAACAUCAUACCUGAGAUUGUUCCCAUGGAUCAAGGUAUGAAUGAUAUAGUUGAGCUUCGUUUGGGAUCCAUUUCACAAUUACAGUGCCUCAUUGACACUAAGCACACUGAAUCUCAAGUGUCAAAAGUCUUCUCCAAGUUGGUUGUACUAGAACUUUGGAACCAAGAUAAUUUGGAAGAAUUGUUCAAUGGUCCUCUUUCCUUUGACUCUCUGAAAAGUUUAAAGGAGUUGUCCAUCAGUGAUUGUAAACAUUUGAAAAGCUUAUUUAAGUGCAACCUAAACCUAUUCAAUCUAAAGAGUGUGUUAUUGAAAGGAUGCCCGAUGUUGAUCUCCCUAUUACAACUGUCAACUGCUGUUAGCCUAGUGUUGUUGGAGACGCUGGAAAUAAUUGACUGUGAGCUUCUUGAAAACAUAAUAAUAGAUGAAAGAAAAGGGCAGGAAUCGAGAGGUGAAAUAGUCGAUGAUAAUGAUAACACAAGUCAUGGCUCAAUGUUUCAGAAAUUGAAAGUUCUUAGUAUUAAGAAGUGUCCAAGAAUCGAAUUAAUACUUCCGUUUCACUCUCCUCAUGAUCUUCCAACACUAGAAUCCAUCACAAUUAAAAGUUGUGAUAAGCUGCAGUACAUAUUUGGCAAAGAUGUCAAACUUGGUUCCCUCAAAAAAAUGAUGCUUGAUGGCAUACCGAAUUUGAUCCAUAUUUUCCCAGAAUGUAACCGUACCAUGGCUUCGCCCAUUAAGAAGACAUCUUCCAAGCCAGAAGAUCAAUCAAAGUCAAUCAAAUGCAAUAUGUUUUCAUGGACUGAUAUAUAUUGUUGUGGUAAAAAAUAUGGUAACACAAGUACUAAAAUCCCAUUGGUUUCUGAGUCUAAGGAUCAACAACAGGACAACUUAAUGGUAACCCUCUCACUUUAUAUUCCAUGAUAUUUUUUAUAUUUUUUUUUAUAGGAAACUGUUGGUACAUUUUAUUAUUUGAAAAAACUAUUUUUUUAAGGAAAACAAAACUACUAAUAUAAUAGCAAAUUACUAAAUACCAAAAAGUGUUCACUUUUUUUUGUGGUGUCCGGGAUUCAAACCCCAGACCUUGCAUAUAUUAUGCAUUGUCCUUACCAUUUGAACUAAGCUCACGAGGACCAAAAAAGUGUUCACUAAUACAAUAUAAUAAUGUACCCAUUUUUUCGUAUCAAUUAAUAGUAUAACAAGUAUAAUAUUAUUUCAAGUAUUUAAGAGCAUCUCCAAUGGGAGGUUCUUACUUAACAAGGAUCACUCCCUAUUAAAGACCCCCCAUUGGAGGAAGAAAAAAUGAGUUCUUAUUAAGGAACGGGUCACUAUAUAAAGACUCUUUCUCUCCUAAGCAACUAAUGGGUUCCACGUUUAAAAUAAAUAAUAAUAUAUGUAUUACUUGGUCCCACUUGCAAAAGAAAUAAUAUUUUAAGAAUUGGUCCCACUUGCAAUAUAAAUAAUUUUUUUCUUUUAAUGAUGUAAAGUUAGUGAGACUUAUUUAAGUAAUUUUUAUGGGAGUCCUUGUUAGUGUAUUACCAUUGGAGUCAUCGGGUCUUUAAUAGAUACUUUUAUUAAAAAAAUUAUAAAUAAGUGAUGUGUACAUGCGGGAUCCAUUUAAGGAGUCCCUAUUAAAGAUUACCAUUGUAGAUGCUCUAAUAGCUUUGGUGCAUUAAGUUAAUUAUAGAUAAAUGUAAGUCGGUCUGUAAAUUAAAUAUCAAUGUUAAUUUAAUUAAAUAAUGUAGUACUUUCUUUUGGUUACAUUCUAAUAUAAUAAUUUAUAAUCCAUAGCCAUUUGUUGCAGGAAUUGAGUGGGAAUGUGGACCAUUUUCUCUCUUUGGAGAGACUCAUAGUAAAGAAUAACUCCAAAGUAGAAAGUAUCAUUUGUAUAAAUGAAAUAAAUGAACAGCAAAUGAACUUAGCUUUGAAAGACAUUGAUUUGGAUGUUUUGCCUGCGAUGACAUGCCUUUUUGUGGGUCCAAAAAAUUUGUUUUUCCUCCAAAACCUUACCCAUUUAAAGAUCAUGCGAUGUGAAAAAUUGAAAAUUGUUUUCUCCACUUCUAUAAUAAGGUAUCUACCACAGUUGCUUAUCUUGAGAAUUGAAGAAUGCAAAGAAUUGAAGCAUAUAAUUGAAGAUGAUUUGGAGAAUAAAAAAUCCUCAAAUUUUAUGUCCACAACAAAGACAUGCUUCCCAAAGUUAAAAAUGGUUGUUGUAGUAAAGUGCAACAAGUUGAAAUAUGUCUUUCCAAUCUCCGUAUGUAAAGAGCUUCCUGAGCUAUAUUAUCUGAUCAUAAGAGAAGCAGACGAGUUAGAGGAAAUAUUUGUAAGUGAAGGUGAUGAUCACAAAGUGGAGAUUCCAAAUCUGAAAGUUGUAAUAUUUGAAAAUCUACCAAGCCUCAAUCAUGCCCAGGGAAUUCAAUUUCAAGAUGUAAAACAUCGUUUCAUACAGAAUUGUCAAAAACUCUCUCUGACUUCAGCAAUAACCGCAGACUUUAAAAAGGAUCUUUCCGGUUUAUAUAUUAACAUCUACGGUAACAUCUACGGUACACACUUCUUCAAAAAAAACAUCUACAGUACACAUUCUAUCCAAUAUUUUUUUAAAUUAUUACAUGUUGGCAGGGCCGUCCCUGUGAAAUAGGAGGCUCGGCUCUCUUUUUAAAAUAGGCCCCUAGUAAAAUAAAAUAUAAUUUUUUUUUGUGUAGCUAAAUUUCAUUAAAAGAAAUCAAAAUCAGAAGAACUUCUAAACAUGAAAGGAAUUAAAAAAAAUUAAGUGAAAGAGGUGAAAUUUAUCUAACGGCGUCGUUUGAACUUGUCACUCCUCUGUUGUGGAAAAUGGUAAAACGAAUGGUUUAUGCGAAGAAAAAAUGAUUGUUGUGAUUCUUUCAAUGAAAUAGCUUUCCAAAUUGACUGAUUAAGUGAUUAUACAAAUUAAGGGUGAUUUGAUAGGAUCUGAUUUAUGUACAAAAAGGAGAACUAGAGUCUAGAAAAAAUCUCAAAUGUGUACUAAAGAAAGAAAAUGAUAUAACAUAUAUAUUUUUUAGUUAAAUGGGGGGUGGGUAUUAUAUUUAAUUUUUCGUUAAAGGCCCGUAACAUUUGAAGGCCCGAUCUGGUUGAGCACCUUGCACACCCUCAAAGCCUGGCCUACAUGUUGGUUGUAAAAUAUUACAUACCAUUUGUUUAAAGGAUAUAUAAACAACUGAAUCUUCUAAAGUAGCGAUAUAAGGUAUGCUGUGUGCAUGCAUAAGUAUUUCUAAAAUGUAAGGGCUCAUGUAGUGACCUAUCUAAUAUAAGCUUUAAUUUUAUGUAAAAUUUAAUUAUUAUAUAGAUAGAUAAACAAUGGGCUUAAAUGCACUUUUCAUCGCCUAAUUGUUUACAAAAAUAGCGAUUUUGACCCUUUUUAAAAAAAUGGCAAAAGUGAUCCAUGUUUACCCCUUUUGCAAACCUCAAUUCUGACUUUGUCAACCGUAGGUGGCCUGUGUAUUUUUUUUUUUAUUUUUUUUUAUUUUUUUUAAUUGGCAAUUCCACGCGUUUAUUAAAUGAAAUUAAAAAAAAACAGAUUGGAAGAAAAAUAGAGAAGGCACGUGCAAGCUCUCAUCAAUUAUUUCUCUUCAUCAAUUUUUCAUGUGUUCUUCCCCAAAACUUUGAUCUUCAUGUUUAUGUGUUCUUCCCCGAAAUCCAAAUCUAAAAAACAACUUACCAUCAUCAAUUGUUUGGUCCUAAAAAAAAUCAUUCUCGUUAAUAUUAGAAUAUAGUGAGAAUAAACUAGAGUUACUUAGUGGUAACUAUAGUAGAAAGUUAGUUAGAGAGUUAGUUACUCCAAGUCACUAUAAAUAAGCUACACCUAUGUACUAUUUCACCAUCUUUUAUUCAAUUGCAUCUUUGUGAUGACUCCUAGAGAGAACUACACAAUUUACCUUUCCAUUGCAUUUGAUCUAGAACCAUGGAAUCCUUUGAUUCAUAACAAUUAACACUCAAAUAUUCAAACUCGUGACUUUCAUCACAAAUUUAUUAACUUGCCAACAACCUUGAGAAAAACUACCAUAGUCUCCGAGGUUCAUCUACGAACAUGAGAACGAAAUUUGGAAAAACAACCAUCUCCAACCCAAACCCAACAUACAAACACAUAUCUGUUCCCAAAACCUUGAAAUACAACCUUCAAUUGAAACUCAUAAAAUUAAAUAGAUAAAAAACUGGGAAAAAAAAAAAGUGGAAUCAAUUUGAUGGGUUGAAGUUUUGUGUUUGAAACUAGAAGAUGAUUCAUAAUGGAUCUGCGAAAAAAAUUAAAUUAGAACAAGGAGAGUGGAAUUUUUAUGUUUGAAUUCAUUUGGUUUGAUUAUCAUUGGGUGAUGCUUCAGCUUCUGUGGAUUGUCGUGGUGCUAAUGGUGGUGGUGAUGGUGAUGAGAAGAAAAAGAAGAAGGUUGUUGGAUAGUUCUUCGUGCAAAAGGGGGUAAACAUGGGGUUACUUUUGCCAUUUUUUUGAAAAGGAGUCAAAAUUGUUAUUUUUGCAAACUUACGGGUUAAAUAGUGCGUUUAAGCCUAAACAAUAUUGUGCAUCUUUAAACAUAAAAAUGAUGAUUUUAUUAUUCUCUAUAUAAUGAUGUUAAUCUCUAUAUUAUUUCGCUGUAGAUCCUGAAUUGUGUAAGUAUUUCGUGUUUCUGUUUGUACAACAAUUAAAAAAAAAGACCAAAGGCAACAAUAGUCGUAAUGAAAAUCCAGAAACCUCAAAAAAAAUUGCCGUUGGGGUUGAAGUUAAAGCAUCAUCAGAACAUGGGCUGACUUCUCCAAAGGUCAAUACCAAUCUAUUGAUUCAAGCUUACCACACCAGAAUUUUAAUGGAUGUAAUUACUAAUUAAUAGCUUAAGAUCAUUAAUGCUUAUGUUCUUGUUACAGGAGUUGAUGAAUGAACAAUCAAUGGACCAACAACGUUCACUUGGAGAAACUGAUACUUCCGUCAAACCUUCUCAGGUAAAUCGUGUAAAAACCAAGAUUACAAAAGAAUGAGCCACCUAUACAAUUAAUUACACCUAUUGGACCCACCACCAUUUAUAUCCGUAAAUUACUCUUUAGCACUAUCACAAUCACUCUUUUAUGCAAGUGUCAUUGGUUGAGCAACACUUAAGUGUUGUUCUCCUACCCAUCGGCAAUUAAAUGUUGUUAGAUCGGUUCAAUCACUUUUUAAAUCGGUUAAAAAGUAUCUGAAUGACAGUUAACUACCGUUAGGGGGUAAAUGAAUAAUUUUGGAGCCUGAUAGCAAUUUUAGAAGCCUAAAGAGCAAUUGUCUUUAUAUCCUUGCACCAAGUCCAACAUUUUAUGAAUUUGUUUUAGGUCCAACCAAGAUUUUAAAAAAGCUAAAAGUGAAAUACUAAAAGAAAAAGAUUUUAUUUCAAGUGCUUCUUAUAAAUAUAUGGAUUGUGGAACUAACUAAUUUACAUUUUUAUGAUAUGCAAUUAGUUGGAGGGUUCUACUACAUCAGAAAAAAAAUGUAGCAAAAACGUGUUCCACCAAUUCACCAACAAAAAAUGAGCCACCUAUACAAGUAGUUACUCCUUCUUAGUAUUCAUUUUGACACUUUGUCAAUGCAGGAGUUGAAUUAUACUACAAUCUUAAAAAUCUUUUAAAUUUUAAGCAGGUUAGUGAAAUAAGUGUUGAAGAAGGAACUACAUCAGCUAAUGCCAAGAGAACAACAGCAUCAUCACAAGUGAGUUUAUUUUAUUUAACAUAGCCUUCAUAUUAACUUGGUCUUUUUAUUAUUAUUAUUAUUAUUAUUAUUAUUCAAUUUUCAUGGAAUUGGAUUUGUAAGAAUCAAGCUCGAAGCUAAUUUCGAUAUAUCGAGAAGAAAAAAAAUUGGAAUCUAUUUGUUGUCAAAAUUCCGAUUUAAAUCGUAAAAUUCAGGAUUUUGCGACUUUAUUCACUUUCAGUGACUCAAAUCCAUAGCAAAAUUCUCAAAUAGGCAAAAUUCUAGUAAAAUCACAUCAAAAUCGUAAAAUCCAUACAAAAUCGAAGGAUUUUAAAGGGUUUGAAGGAUUUUAUCCAUUUUUGUAUAAGUAUUUUGUGGACAAUUUAUAACAUAUGUUUAACAUUAUUUUUGUUUUGGUAAAAUAUAUUGAUUUUGAUUCCUAUUUUACAAUUUCUUAUAUCAAUUUUACAAAAGUAGUUGAGUAAAAUCCUUCGAUUUUGAUAGCGAUUUUACGAUUCUCGAUUUUACUCUACCAUUUUAACUUGAAGUAAAAUCCUAAUUUUGACAACCUUGAAUCCACAGCUUUUGAAUUUUGGAAAAGUUUUAUUUAAGAAAGUAUAAUGUUAGACAAGUUUAGACCAUUUUAUCCUUGAUUCAUUUACAAAAAAUUAAUUCAUUGAAUGCAUGCUUUGGGUUUUUGUAAGGGUACAAAAGAAAAAAUAUCAUUAAUCCAAAAAAAUAUUAAGACUUGAUGAUGAUAUCAUUUGUUUAUUUGAAUUUGUGUAGGAAUGUGGUGACUGCCAAAUAGUCAUACCUUCUCAGGAUGUUGAUAUUAACAUCAAUGAUGAUCAAGGUGAUGAAGACUCUUUAGAUCAAUUAUAUUUUCUUUAGUUACCUCAUCACUCACCCUUUUCAUUUUGAACUUUAACUCUCUUCUCUCACACCAUUUGUUCAGUUUCUGUAAAUGAUGAUGCUGUCAUAAAAGUAAAGGAACAAUUAUCUAAGGAUGUUGAAUUUAAAGUUCCAGAAUCUAUCAUUCCUUUGCCUCAAGAAUUUCAAACUCCUUCAAUGCUAUCCGGAGGUAUAGAUUUUCUCCCUUAUCUUAAAAACUUAAUUUUGUGCUAAAAAUAGGAUUAAUUAUUCUUUCCUUUACUUUCAGGAGACCCUUCUCAAAAUGUAGAAGAUUUAAGUUCUUCUUUGUUUGUCAAGAGUGAGCUUGAGCAACUAGUCUCCAAGAAUCAUUUGGAUUAUGAGAACUUAUCUCUAUUGACAGGUUUCCUUGUUAAAAAUCCUUCUGUUCGUUUAAAAGACAAUUCACUGCGUAAUAGAUUCAAGGGUUGUGCUUACAACUUAUUGGCAGAGCUAUUGAAAUUCCUUGAAACUCAUAGUGUCUUGGAUGUAUUAGGCUCAUGCCACUCUGAAUUUGUGGAUCUACUACUAGAUGCGCGCAACUUUGGUUUUGAUAAGGAUUGGUUGGAUAGUGUCGAAAGGCGGGCUAUGUUUCCUGAUAUACAAAUAUCUCAAGACGCCAUGCAAAAAUUAUUGGAUUCCAAGCAACAAAUUACCAAGGAAGUUGAAGUGUUGCAUUUAAAGAUAGAGAUUUUAAGUCAACAUGUGGAAGAUCUUAAGCAUCAAUUGACAUCCUCUAAAGCUGUUUUGAAGAAUAUAAUUCAACAAGAGGCGGUUUUAAGUGCACCUAUUGGUUAUUAGACUAUAUUUUCAAGUACUUUUAUUUCAUCAUUGCUGCUUUGUUAUGCUUUUCAUUGUGGGAACCUUUGUUCUUCAAUAUUUUUUAAUAAGGUUUUGAUUGGAUGGUGUCAAAAAGUGCGCUUUGUUUCUUGAUUUCCAGGUUUUGACUCUACAGGUGAGGAGUCUUCCGCCUAAUUCUACCCAAAGCCCCAAUCUCUUCCCGUAACCAAGAGACUUCAUCCUAAUAGUGUUUCCCAAGGUGAAUCAAUCCUCAAACCCUAGUGUUUGUUCCCAAGAGACAAACUCUAGUUUUGUUGUUGCCUUUCUAAACCCUUGUUUCAGCCCCCUCUAUCUCAAGGUUUACUCUGAUACAACGCAUAUAUUUAUAGUAAAAGAAUCCUCAAUAAAACUGGAACAAAUCUAGGCCCGAAAAUACGUUUCUGUUUUAUUUUCUGCUGUCAAAAUCGGCCACCGAAUGCUCCAAAUCGGUCGCUGAUUUUUGCCGAACCAAUAAACAAAAAACCAGAGUGCAAAAUCGGCCACCGAUUUUCUACUUCCAGAAUUCCAAUUUCUUCAAUUUUGAGGCACUUUCACAACAAUCUCCACCUUGACUUUAAAUUAAUGAUGAUGCCAAACCAUCAACCACCAUGCUGCUCUUUCCCUUGCUUCCCACUACACCAAGUAGCUCCACAAGUUUACACCUUAAUCCCUUCAGCCAUCGGAAUGUCUUCCUCCUUCUCAAAGGUCCUUGCAGUCCAACUACACUAGAAAUUUUAGGUAGUUCCACAAGCAUUCACCUUAACCUCUUCAGCCAUCGGAACGUCUUCCGUCUUCUCGAAGAAUCCUUGCAGUCCAACUACAUUAGGUGUUUUAGGUAGUUUCACAAGCAUUCACCAUAACCUCUUCAACACAUGACAUCUUCCGCUUCCUUGAAAGUCUCCUUGCUUCCAAUCACCCUUGGCCUUUUUUUAGGGUAAUCCCGCAAGUUGCGCUAUACAUUCUUCAACCUCCGGAAUGCCUUUCGUCUUCAUGAAGAAAUCCCUUGCUCGCCAUAGAGCAUAGCACCCAAGGUCAUCCAUAGUCGUACCAUUACCGGUGUGUUCAACUCCACCUCAAGCUGAGCGUACUCUACCUCAACUAGCAAAUGCGUACAUCCCACUAUGUCUUCAACCUUGAAACUCCACCUCAACAGGUAGAUCAUGAGUAUUAUAGAUUUGUCAUGACCCACCUCAAUUUAGUAACAAGGGUCUUCAAACUAAAUCAUGACCGUCGGUGGGUUUUCUUUAGACUUGGAAUUAUAUUACAAAUGUGAAAGUGAGACCAAUAAUUGAAUUGCUUUAUAUCAACAAUGAUGACUAGCUAGCUGUAAAGAUUGUCAAUAAUGGAAACAUCACUUUAUACUAAAGUGUUGAACAAGAUUAAAACAAGAUAUUGAAAUUAUUGUUUAGAUGUGUCUAGAAAGCGACCUGAAUCUUGCAACUCAAUGCAGUCGAUCAGAUCAGUGCAAGCUUGAGGAAUUACAAUUGUGGAAACUCAGCUCACCUCGACUAAUUUCAGUUUCCAUAAUCCACUCACCCAUUAACAAAAAAGAUUUAUCCUUAGCCAAUAAAAUUGUGCAAUUGAACGAUUCGUGGAAAAUUAUUCAUCAACGCAUCAUAUUUUGAGUGAUGAAAGGUGGAUUUCUCGGAUCUCAUCAUAAGAUCCCUCAUCAUAAUACCCCCACAAAAAAUUAUAAGAAAAAUUAUUCAUCGACACAUCAUAUUGAGAAAUUACAAAAACUUGUGUGUUUCAUUCCAUUGGAUAUAUCUAAAAUUGAGGGAAUGAAAAAAAAUAAAUGGUAUUAGAUGGAACGGAUUUCAUCAUGCUCCAUUUUAUUUCUGUCAUUUCUUUUACAAAAUCAAUCAAUGGAAUAUGAUUUUACCCCGCUCCGCUCCACCAUUUUCCAUUGAUACAAGUCUUAGGUUUUAUUAUGAGUUUAAAGGGGAAAAGAGAGCUUUGAAAAAAAUUAUAAGUUGUUUUAAGAAAGAAAAAAAUUGUCAUAAAUUAUAAAUCACUUUACAAUAUCAAUAAAAUAUGGGAAAUGCUAACUGGUGCCCCCAAGACACUGGUUAAGGAUAUGAAAAAAGAAAUUAAAUAGUAGUUAAUGCAUUGAAAUUGUAUAAUUAAUUUAUAAUAAAGUCAAAAGCAGAUUCCUUUUAUGGUAAUAAUUCCCUUUUAUGGUAUACUUAAACAGUGCUCUGAAGACACCGGUUAGCCCAUAAAAUAUUAAAAGUCAUUUUGAGAAAGAAAAGAUUUAAUUUGCAUACACGACAAUGUAAGUUCCUAAAAUAUCUUUGGAAAUACGUUUUAUGAUUUGAUUUGUUGAACAUCCUACCUUAGAUGACUAAAUCUAUAUGUUGAUCUUAUAUUUAUAUUUUAAAAAGAUUAAAAGAUAAACAUGAUAUAUCAUGUUGUAAUUGUACAGACCUUCCGGAUAUGUAAAUUUAGGGUGCGUUUGUUUCAAGUUAUAUUCGUAUAUUCUUAGGAAUAAAAAGAUAGAAAUAUACAUGCUUAUGUUUGUUACAAGAUUAGUAAAUUUUAUUUUCGGAUAUAAAACGUUCUUGGGAAUAGAAAUAUAUUAUCAAAAUAUAGAUUUGUCAUGACCCACCACAAUUUAGUAACAAGAGUCUUCAAACUAAAUCAUGACCGUCGGUGGGUUUUCUUUAGACUUGGAAUUAUAUUACAAAUGUGAAAGUGAGACCAAUAAUUGAAUUGCUUUAUAUCAACAAUGAUGACUAGCUAGCUGUAAAGAUUGUCAAUAAUGGAAACAUCACUUUAUACUACAGUGUUGAACAAGAUACAAACAAAAUAUUGAAAUUCUUGUUCUCAUCGUGGGUUAUUGUUUAGAUGUGUCUAGAAAGCGACCUGAAUCUUGCUUGCAACUCAAUGCAGUCGAUCAGAUCAGUCCAAGCUUUCAUAGUUGAGGUUUUCAGUUUCCAUAAUCCACUCACCCAUUAACAAAAAAGAUUUAUCCACCACACUUUAGCUAGCUACCACACUUUUAACUCAAGUUUUCUAAAAUUGUUGGAAAGAUUGUCUAGUUGUUGAACCAAAAUUAAGCCUCCAAAGUAUAUUUCUACAGCAGAGUUGCUCAUACGGCUUGAACAUUUGCUGAAAGUGUGCUGGAGUUAAGGUAACCAACAAACAAUCAUGCUUUAACAAUUUUCAGUCGAUAUUUUAAUUAAUUGUUUACAGUGACCAAGUUCUAGAUUUCAUACGAUUAUUACAAGGGUUUAUAAAUCAACUUGAGUUUUAUGCUUUCUAUUAUCUUUUAGACAAACUCUAAAACAAAACUCUAACACUUAUAUUAAUAUUUAACCAUCGUAAACAAAAAAAUAAUUCAAUAAACCAAAGUAUUCAAAAUUGUCUUUAAUGAGAAUCUUUUACAAAUGAAUUGUUUGCACUAUCUUUAAAGAUUCUUGUGAUUCUAGGUACUGCAGACCGGAGAAGGAUGAGGAAGAUUGUUCAUGAGACUUGAGUAUGCGUUGAAUGUGCCGAAAAUACUGUGUUGGAAAGAUCAGGUAAAUAUCAAUUUCAUUUUGCUUCAUCAUUCAUUCAAAUAUAAAGUAGGUUUUCUGAAAUUGUUGGAAAGAUUGUCUAGUUGUUGAACCAAAGUAUAUUUCUACAGCAGAGUUUCAAUGAACGCUUGAACAUUUGCUGAAAGUGCUGGAGAUAAGGUAACCAACAAACAAUCAUACUUUAACAAUUUUCAGUCUAUUUUAAUUAAUUGUUUACAAAGGUUUAUAAAUCAACUAGAGAAACCAACUCGAGUUGAUAAGGUAGAAUCAAACAUAGUCUAUAAGGAAUUUUUUGCAGUGAAUAUUACUCCUAAUUCUCUAAAUUCUAGCUGCUGCCUGCUGUCGAGAAAGAAAAAUAUUGUUAAAAAGUACGUCCUUACAACAGUAACACAAUUGAGGUAGAAAAUAAUCUCAUGGUUGUUUUUCUUUUAUCACUUCCUCAGAUUUUCUAUUUGUAUAUGAUUUCCAAUUUUGGUCUUCACUCUACUUUUCUACAUGGUCCUUUUUUCAUGACUUGUUUAUCAUUUUCAAAGAUAAAUUGGGUAUUCAGAGAUUGGCUUAAAGGAUCUUAAACUUUAAUAUUGGAUGAACUCCCAUUUGAACUUUCUCAAAUAUUUGUUUGAACAAGCUAAGAAAAUUCUUUGAUGAAAAGUGUGUCAUCAACUAUCAUUUUUCAAAUUAACAGACCCUGAAUGAAGAAAAUCUUCUUACAAUAAAAGAACAUGAAUGAUAUGCUAUGAGAAUGAGAUUCAUUAUCAACCAUUGUAUUUUUCAACAUACACAAACAUAUGUCUAACUUUGAUGUAUUGAAAUUCAUUUAGAUGGCGAGUUUUCUAACUGAUUUGGCGAAGACCUAUGUGGAGAAAUUGAUAAAUGGGGUGAUCGCAGAGUCAAGUUAUAUAUGUUGCUUCACGUGCAUUGCUAAUGAUUUUGAAGAAGAAAGAUCUAGAUUGGAAACAGAAAACACAACUGUCAAGCAACGUGUUGAUGUGGCAACCAGUAGAGGAGAAGUUAUUCAAGCUAAUGCUCUUUUUUGGGAAAAAGAAGCUGAUGAGCUCAUUCAAGAAGACACCAAAACAAAACAAAAAUGUCUUUUUGGAUUUUGUCCUCAUAUCAUAUGGCGAUAUAAAAAGGGAAAGGAACUGACAAAUAAGAAGGAGCAAAUUAAAAGAUUGAUUGAAAAUGGAAAGGAUCUUGUAAUUGGACUCCCUGCUCCUCUUCCAGAUGUUGAACGUUAUUCAUCCAGAGACUAUAUUUCUUUUGAAAGUAGAAAAUCCAAAUACAAAGAGCUUUUUGAUGCUCUGAAAGAUGACAACAGUUAUAUAACCGGGUUGCAAGGGAUGGGGGGCACAGGAAAAACUACAUUGGCCAAAAAAGUGGGGAAGGAACUUAAGCAAUGCAAACAAUUUACUAACGUCAUCGAUACAACAGUGUCAUUGUCUCCUGAUAUCAGAAAGAUUCAAGAUGAUAUCGCUGGACCCUUGGGAUUGAAAUUUGACGACUGUAGUGAAUCAGACCGACCCAAAAAACUAUGGAGCAGAUUAACCAAUGAAGGUAAGAUUGAUCAGAACGAGGAAAAGAAGAUUCUUCUAAUAUUUGAUGAUGUGUGGGAUGAUAUCGAUUUUGAUAAAAUAGGGAUUCCUGACAAUCACAAAGACUGUAGAAUUCUUGUAACCACACGCAGUCUCUCUGUCUGCCACAGAUUAGGAUGCAAUAAGAAAAUCCAACUGGAGGUCUUAUCUGAUGAAGAAGCAUGGACCAUGUUCCAAACGCAUGCUGGUCUAAAAGAAAUGUCACCUACAAGUUUGCUCGACAAGGGCCGUAAAAUUGCAAAUGAAUGCAAAGGAUUACCAGUUGCAAUUGCUGUUAUCGCCAGUAGUUUGAAGGGCAUACAAAAUCCGAAAGUGUGGGAUGGGGCCUUAAAAUCCUUGCAGAAACCCAUGCCCGGUGAUGAGGAAGUUGUUAAAAUUUAUAAAUGCUUGGAUGUUAGCUAUGAUAAUAUGAAGAAUGAGAAUGCCAUGAGACUAUUCCUCUUGUGUUCUGUAUUUCGAGAAGAUGAAAAAAUUUCUAUCGAAAGGUUAACCAGACUUGGCAUCGGAGGAGGCCUUUUUGGGGACGAUUUUGACAGCUAUGAUGAUGCUCGAAACCAAGUUGUUAUAUCCACAACUAAACUCGUAGAAUUUUCUUUAUUGUUGGAGGCCGAUCGAGAUCAAAGCAUCCUGAUAAUGCAUGACUUGGUUCGUGAUGCAGCCCAAUGGACGAGCAGAGAGUUUCAAAGAGUAAAGUUAUAUCAUAAAUAUCAAAAAGCAAGUGUUGAAAAGAAGAUGAAUAUUAAAUAUUUGUUAUGUGAAGGCAAGCCUAAGGAUGUGUUUUCAUUUAAGCUUGAUGGUUCCAAGCUUGAGAUUCUAAUUGUCAUUAUGCAUAAGGAUGAAGAUUGUCAGAAUGUGAAAAUCGAAGUCCCGAACUCAUUUUUUGAAAAUAUUACGGGCCUUCGAGUUUUUCAUCUAAUAUAUGACCAGUAUCCUACUAUACCUCUAUCAUUACCUCACUCAGUUCAAUCGAUGAAAAAUAUUCGAUCUCUUCUCUUUGAGCGUGUCAAUUUGGGUGACAUCUCUAUUUUGGGAAACCUGCAAAGCCUUGAGACUCUUGAUUUGGAUGAUUGUAAAAUUGAUGAAUUGCCUCAUGGAAUUGCAAAACUAGAGAAAUUUCGAUUGUUGAAAUUGGAAAGUUGUGAAAUUGCAAGGAAUAAUCCUUUUGAAGUGAUUGAAGGAUGCUCAUCACUUGAAGAGUUGUAUUUCACAGAUAGCUUUAAUGAUUGUUGCAAAGAAAUAACUUUCCCUAAACUACGAAGGUUUAAUAUUGAUGAAUAUUCGAGUUCAGAGGACGAAUCAUCAUCAAAGUGUGUGUCUAUUGUAUUCGAAGAUAAGUUUUUCCUAACUGAAACAACACUCAAGUAUUGCAUGCAAGAAGCAGAGGUUCUUAGACUAAGAAGAAUCGAGGGGGAAUGGAAAAACAUCAUACCUGAGAUUGUUCCCAUGGAUCAAGGUAUGAAUGAUAUAGUUGAGCUUCGUUUGGGAUCCAUUUCACAAUUACAGUGCCUCAUUGAUACUAAGCACACUGAAUCUCAAGUGUCAAAAGUCUUCUCCAAGUUGGUUGUACUAAAACUUUGGAACCAACAUAAUUUGGAAGAAUUGUUCAAUGGUCCUCUUUCCUUUGACUCUCUGAACUUUUUAGAGAAGUUGUCCAUCCAAGAUUGUAAACAUUUGAAAAGCUUAUUUAAGUGCAAACUAAACCUAUUCAAUCUAAAGAGAUUGUCAUUGAAAGGAUGCCCGAUGUUGAUCUCCCUAUUUCAACUGUCAACUGUUGUUAGCCUAGUGUUGUUGGAGAGAUUGAAAAUAAAGGAUUGUGAGGGUCUUGAAAACAUAAUAAUAGGUGAAAGAAAAGGGAAGGAAUCAAGAGGUGAAAUUAUUAAUGAUAAUGAAAGCACAAGUCAAGGCUCAAUAUUUCAGAAACUGGAGGUUCUUAGUAUUGAGAAAUGUCCGGCACUUGAAUUUGUACUUCCGUUUCUCUAUGCUCAUGAUUUUCCAGCACUAGAAUCCAUCACAAUUGAAAGUUGUGAUAAUCUGAAAUACAUAUUUGGCAAAGAUGUCCAGCUUGGUUCCCUCAAAACAAUGGAGCUUCAUGACAUACCAAAUUUCAUCGACAUUUUCCCAAAAUGUAAUCGUACCAUGACUUCAUCCAUUAAGAGGUCAUCUUCCAUUUCUGGAGAUGCUUCCAAGCCACAAGAACAAUCAGAGCCAAUCAAAUGCAAUAUGUUUUCAUGGACUGAUAUAUAUUGUUGUGGUAAAAUAUAUGGGCACAGAUUAAGGAGUACCACAUUGGUUUCUAAGGAUCAACCGCAGGACAAUUUAAUGGUAACCCUCUUACCUUCUAUUUCUUCUGUGAUGUUAUUUUUUGUAAUUUUUUUAAUACGAUACUAUUGAUCUCUGAAGCAUGGGUACAUUUAAAACGGGGGUACGCGUACGGUGCUUAUGGUACUUCAUUUUAGUUCAUUAUUCUAUUGUGAUUUUUUUUUUUUGAGGUAUUAUUCUAUUGUGAUUGAAAAUUGUGACUUUCUCUUAUUUAUUAAUAUGAUAAUAUAGUAUUAUAUUUGCAUAGGAGUUUUUUGUGGUUGUAAACAGCUAAAUUUUCUUACUAUUUAAACUUUUUAUUGUGAUGUUUUUAUAAUAAAUUGAAGAAUUUAGCCCUCUCAUGUUAUAUUAUAUAGCAAAACUCAUGAUUUUAUUGACGUACCCGUUCUUUAGUUUUUUUAAAAAUAAACAUCUUCUUGUACCAGUACCCGUAUCAUAUUUGUACUCAUACCUAUGCAACAUAGUUAUUGAUACAAUUUAUUUUUUGGAAAAAAAAAACUAUUUUUAAAUUCAUUUUAUUAGACAUCGUAUGCUUGAAGAUUACUAUUAAUGUACAGUUUUUAUUUGGGUAGAAAUAAGAGAUAUUUAACUUCUAUUUUUAUUUGGAUGACAUGAUUGCAGAAAUCAACAUUUCCACCUUUGAAAGAACUUGAACUCAAUAACUGCGGGGACGGUAAAAUCAUCAAGGUAUCUCUAUUUUGUAUAUCUUUGUUAUUUGUGAAUCUAAACUUCAUAAUUUUAAGUCAUCAUAUAUUUUUAAAUGAUUUUUUUUUUUUUUAUAAAAAGUUCCCCCACAUAAAUUUCUCUAUUUUUGUUACUUAUUAUAUUUUGAUGUUUAAAAAGUUUAUAUUUCAUUCAUCUUAUGCUAAACAAAAAUUGUGGAGCAACAUUGAAUAAUGUUCAAACCAUGCCUGUAAUUAGGAUUUUAAAAGACAAUUUUUGUAUAAAAAAAGUCUUGUGGAUUUUAAAAGACUUUGAAAAAUCAAUCCUUUAUAUGCUUGGUAACAUAUAGUGAUGAAAUUCAAAAAGAAAUUCAAUUUUGAUUGCAAUGUUUUUUGAAGCAUGACAGACAUUGUGAUGAUAGUUUGAUACUGUAUUUCAUUCCAUAAAUAAUUGGCAUGGAUGAGAAAGUAUUAUAAAAAUGUCAGGAAGUUAUUGUGUGGGAGUUUGGCUAUCACAUUUUAUGGUAUAACAGACUGUGAAAAUGGAAGGGAUGAAGCUACAUAAAAAACAUAUUUGAUAGAAGGACAUGAGAGAAAGGGGAAGGAGAUAAGGGAGAUGUAAAAACAAAAAAGAAAUAAAAAAAUGAGAAUCCAUAGAAAUCUCAUGAUGUUGGUAAAGACUUUUUAAAGCUAAAAAAUCCCUAAAAUUAAAAGUCCAUCAAAAUCCAUAGAAAUCCCAUUUUUUUAACAAUCCAUCGAAAUCAGAAUUUUUUUUAAUACCACAAGACUUUUUGAAAGUUGUAAAAAGUUUUGAUUGAAUAUCACAAGAUUUCUAGACUUUGUUUUAAAAGUCUAGAAAAUCCUAAUCGAAUACCACUAAACUUUUUUAAUUUAAACAAAAGUCUUGAUUGAAUACCCCAUGACUUUUUCAUCAUAAAAAAGUCUUUUAAAAUCCUUCCAAAUCCCAAUUGAAUACACCCCAUAAAAAAAUUAAAAUUCAAAGGAUAAUUAAACAUGUUUGGUUUCAUCAUAAACUGUCAAUGAUAGAAAAUAAUUAUUUUUUCUUCAAAAAACAAUCAAUUUAAUUAUUAUAAUUAAAUUUUAUUUCAUCGACGCUUGUGGUAAAUAAGAUUUAAUUAUUAUAAUUGUCAAUGAUAGAAAAUAAUUAUUUUUUCUUCAAAAAACAAUUAAUUUAAUUAUUAUAAGUAAAUUUUAUUUCAUCGACGCUUUUGGUAAAUAAGAUUUAAUUAUUAUAAUUGUCAAUGAUAGAAAAUAAUUAUUUUUUCUUCAAAAAACAAUCAAUUUAAUAUUUGGUGUACUGGUACACUCAAAAUGUUGGAUGUACCAUAGAAUUUGCCAAAUUUUAAACUUCUAUACUUUAAUUUAAUGAAAUGACAAGGAAGAAAAUAAAAGCUAACAAUAGUUAUCUAUAAAAUUUGAGUUCUAUAUGAAGUUUUCAGAAGUCAAAGUUAUCCAUAAUUGACACUAAACUAAUUAGAAUAUCAAUAUUUUUUUAAGAGCAUCUCUCUUUGAACCAAACAAAAUUGUUUGGCGUAAUCAAACAAUAUAUUAAUGAACUAGCUACUUGUAAAAACUAUGUUAAUUAUUCAAGAUAUGUUUUUCUUUUGAGGUGGCCAAUGAUACCCAUUGUUAUGAAGCCCUUCGUCCUUGUCUACAACUUAUAUGAAAAUGUGAAUGUGGGGGUUGAUUCAAUGGAGGAAGGGUAGCAGAUUGAAAAACAAAAAGGUUGGAGUGUUGAAAAUUAAAUAACAAUAUUAAUUUAAUUAAAUACUGUAGUGCUUUCUUUUUGUUACAUUAUAUUGUAAUAAUUUAUUCCAGAGCCUUUUAUCAUCUCUAUUGUACUUAUAUGACUUUGUUAUUCUUAUUUUAUGCAUUGUGUUUAUUUCCCAUUCAUUUAUUACAGGAAUUGAGUGGGAAUGUGGAUAAUUUUCUCGCUUUGGAGAGACUCAUGGUAACGAAUAACUCCAAAGUAGAAAGUAUCUUUUGUCUGAAUGAAAUAAAUGAACAGCAAAUGAACUUAGCUUUGGAAGACAUUGAUUUGGAUGUUCUGCCUAUGAUGACAUGCCUUUUUGUGGGUCCCAACAAUUCGUUCUCCCUCCAAAACCUUACAAGAAUAAAAAUCAAGGGAUGUGAAAAGUUGAAAAUUGUUUUCACCACUUCUGUAAUAAGGUGUCUACCACAGUUGUAUUAUAUGAGAAUUGAAGAGUGCAAUGAGUUGAAGCAUAUUAUUGAAGAUGAUUUGGAGAAUACAACAAAGACAUGCUUCCCAAAUCUAAAAAGAAUUGUUGUAAUAAAGUGCAACAAGUUGAAAUAUGUCUUUUCAAUUUCCAUAUAUAAAGACCUUCCUGCGCUAUAUCAUAUGAGAAUUGAAGAAUGCAAUGAGUUGAGGCAUAUUAUUGAAGAUGAUUUGGAGAAUAAAAAAUCCUCAAAUUUUAUGUCCACAACAAAGACAUGCUUCCCAAAGCUAAGAAUACUUGUUGUGGAAAAGUGCAACAAGUUGAAAUAUGUGUUUCCAAUCUCCAUAUCUAAAGAGCUUCCUGAGCUAAAGGUUCUGAUCAUAAGAGAAGCAGAUGAGUUAGAGGAAAUAUUUGUAAGUGAAUUUGAUGAUCACAAAGUGGAGAUUCCAAAUCUAAAACUUGUAAUAUUUGAAAAUCUACCAAGCCUCUAUCAUGCUCAGGGAAUUCAAUUUCAAGUUGUAAAACAUCGUUUCAUACUGAAUUGUCAAAAACUAUCUCUGGCUUCAGAGUCAACACCAGACUUCGAAAAUGAUAUUUCUGCUUCAGAUUUUGGCUACGGUACAGACUCUAUCCAAUAUAUUUUUAAAAACUAUUACAUGUUGGCCGUAAAUAAUUACAUAUCAUGCAUUAGUAUUGUUAAAGGAUAAAAACAAUUGAAUCUUCAAAAGUAGCGAUAUCACGUAUGCAUGCAUAAGUAGUGACCUAUCGAAUAGGAGCUUUAAUUUUAUGUAAAAUUUAAUUAUUAUGUAGAUAGAUAACCAAUAUUGUGCAUGUUUAAACUUAAAAAUGAUGAUAUACAAUUGAAAGCGGAAGUUUUUAUUUUUAUUUUAUUUUUUGUGGUGUCUAGGGUUUGAACCUUGAACCUUGCAUAUUUUAUACAUUAUUCUUACCAACUGAGCUAAGCUCAGAAGGAUGUUAAUCACUAUUAUGCUUGAGUUACUAUAUAAGGAUGUUAAUCUCUAUUAUACUUUGCCUGUAGAUUUUGAAUUGUUUGACUAUUGGAAGACUCUGUUUCAACAAUUACAAAGAGAGACCAAAGGCCACGAUAGUGGUAAUGAAAAUCCUAGUCCACAAACCACGAAAGAUUUUGUGGUUGGGAUUGAAGUUCAAACAGCAUCGGAACACAAGUUGACUUCUCCACAGGUAAAUACUAAUAAAUAGUUUGAGGUUAGGAUUGAAGUCCAGAAAUCCUGUGCUUACCACUUCUGAAUCCAAUCACCAUGACAAUAUAUUUGAAUCAAGGAUGCUAUUCUUUUGUGCAGAUAAAAAUGAAAGAAACACCACAGACGGAGAAUGAACUUAUUGAAAAUGCUCCUGAUUUAGAAAUACCAACAAACUUAAAAGUGAUUUCUAGUCCAUGUUUGAAUUGAGUUAGAUAUUUAAUUGAUGCAAUUAAUAGCUGAAGAUCAUUAAUGCCUAUGUUCUUGUUACAGGAGUUGAUGAAUGAACGAUCAAUGGACCAACAACGUUCACUUGGAGAAACUGAUACUGCCGUCAAACCUUCUCAGGUAAAUCAUGUAAUAUCGUACCACCGCAUUGUGCAUAUAAAGCUAAACAAAAGGCAUUUCCCUCAUUUUGCUAGUAUUCUUUUGAACACUUUGUCAAUGCAGGAAUUGAAUUAUACUACAAUCUUAAACAUCCAUUUAAUUUUAAGCAGGGUAUCGAAAUAAGUGCUGAAGAAGGAACCACGUCAGCUAAUGCCAAGACAAUAACAACAUCAUUAGGUCCAUUAUCUACUUCUAAGCAUAAAACAUCUUCACAGGUGAGUUUAUUAUAUAUAACAAAGCCUUCAAAUUAACAUAGUCUUCUGUUUGUAGGUAUUGCUGUCAUAUUUUUCUUUUUGUUAUUAUUUAAUUGCAAUGGAAUUGGAUUUGUAAGAAUCAAGCUUUAAACUAAUUUUGAUAUAUAAAGAGGAAAAAAAAUUGGAAUCUACAGCUUUUAAAUUUUGGAAAAGUUAUGUUGCUGUCAUAUUUUGGAAAACUAAUUUUGAUAUAUCAAAAUGAUUUGUCCACUUGAGAAACAUGAGGGAAAACUAACAGACGCAAUCCAUUCCAUUCCCUACUCUCUCGUUCCGAACCUUUCGUCCUUUUUAGUUUGGCUACAGAUAUUAAGAAAGUACAAAAUUAGACAGGUUUAGUCCAUUGUGUCUUGCUUUCCUAAUAGAACCAAAGUUUUGGGACAAAAAUAAAAAGCUGAAAGAACCAAAGAUCAAGAACCGGCGGAGUAAUAUGUAUUGAGGCUAAUCCUAAAAAACAUAUCAAGACUUCAUGAUGAUAUCAUUUGUAUGUUUGAACUUGAAUUUUUGUAGGAAUAUGGUGGCGGCGAAAUGGCCAUAUCUUCUCCAAUUUCCAUAACAAGGCCUCUUACCACUCAAGAAGUUCAUGUUAAUAACUUGCAGGAAACUAGUAACACUAAUGAUGAUCAAGGUGAAGAGUCUUAGGAUCAAUUUUAUUUUCUUAAGUUAUCUCAUCACCCUUUUCAUUUUGAAGUUUAAAUCUCUUCUCUCACACCUUUUGUUCAGUUUCUCUAAAUGAGGAUGCUGUCGUAAAAGUAACCUCAAUUGUUGAGGAACAAUUUUCUAAGGAUGUUGAAUUUGAAGUUCUAGAAUCGAAGCCUGCCCUUAUCAUUCCUUCGCCUCAAGCAUUUCAAUCUCCUUCGAUGCUAUCCGGAGGUAUAGAUUUUCUCCCUUCAUUUUAUUUUUAAGAACAUUAUUUGGUACUCGGAGAGGACUAAUUAUCAUUUUCUAUACUUUCAGGGGACCCUUCUCAACUAGAUGAAGAAUUAGUAAGUUCAUCAUCAGGUCCAUUGUUUCAUUAAUAAUUGCCAUUCGAUAGGUUUCCUAUGAAACAAGAUUUAAACUAAUUCUUAUAUAAAGAUUUUUUUUUUAAGUCUAUUGCUUCCGAAUCUUACAUUCAAACUUAAGGGAAUUGUUGCUCAAUAUUUGUAGAUGCUUAACACUGAAAUUCUUGUUUUCUAUUUUUAAUUUUAUCUGUAGUGGAAUCAGACUCUUGCAAAAUAUAAUAUAUGGUGUAAAAUAUAGUGAGGUUGAUCCAUUAUAAGAUAUGAUAUAUCAUUUAGUGAUUUAAAUCUGUGUAGGAAGAUCUUGAACCCCGGGGUUUGCAUAUUUUACGCAUUGUCCGUACCAACUGAGCUAAGCUUACGAGGACAUUCUAUUUAUUCAAGUUAACCACAUAUGAAUACAAUCAUCAAUGCAAUGUAUUUGAAUCAAACAUUUAUUUUUGAUGCAGGAAGAAAUGGAACAAACACUAGAGACAAAGCAUGAAUUUGUUGAAAAUGUUCCUCAACAAGAGAUGCCAUCAGUAGCAAUAAUACCAACAAAUUCAAAAGUAAUUUGAAGGCCAUGUGAAAAUCACUUGGAUAUUCCUCUCCAAAUAUAUACAUAUUCAAUAUUAGUCUAGUAAUGAAAUAAUUCAUAUGUUCUUACUACAGGAGUUGAUGAAUGAACAAGAAAUGGAGCAAAAACGUCUACGUGGAGAAAUUGAUGCUACCGUCAAACCUUCUCAAGAAAAUAAUGUAAUAUAGUACCACCUCAUUGUGCAUAUAAAUCUAAAAAAGAAACGUUAAAAAUAUGUUGCAACUAAUUUACAUUUUCAUGUUAUGCAAUCAGUUGGAAGCAUCAACUUUGUCGACCAUUUUCUUGUAUUCUUUUUCACACUUUGUCAGUACAGAAAUUGAAUUAUACUACAAUAUUGACAGGUUAGCGAAAUAAGUGUUGAAGAAGGAACUACAUCAGCUAAUGCCAAGACAAAAACAUCUUCACAGGUCUUCUUCUUACAAGUAUUAUUGUUCAUUUUUUAUAUAUUUCAUUGCGUUGGGAGCCUACUGCUUUUGACAUUUUGAUUCUUUUGUUUUAUAUUUUUUUCUAUAAUGAAGUAAGCCUAUUUCAGACGAAAAUAUCUAUAGCGUGGCUGAUCCUAUAAAUAUUAAGAAUUCAUAAUGAUAUCAUUCUUUUAUUUGAAUUUUGUAGGAAGAAGGUGACAACCAAAGAGCAAUAGCUUAUACUCCAAUUGACAUAACAAAGCCUGUAACCACUCAAGAUGUUGAUGUUGAAAUCUGGCAGGAAACUAGUAACACUAAUGAUGAUCAAGGUGAAGAAUCUUUGGAUCGCUUUUAUUUUCUUAAGUUACCUCAUCGCCCUUUUUAUUUUGAAGUUUAGCUCUCUUGUUUCCCAUCUUUUGUCAGUUUCUCUAAAUGAUGAUAAUGUCAUGAAAGCAAGCUCAAAUACUGAGGAUCAGUUUUCAAAGGAUGAUAACAUAUUAGUUUCCAAAUCAAGACCCUCUUCUAUUGCAUCUCAGUUUCCUUCAAAGCCUUCUGAAGGUAUUUUAUUUCUUUGUUUUAUUUUUAAUUAAUUUACUUGUGCUUAAAUAUGCAUAAUUAUUCUUUCCUAUACUUUCAGGGGACCCUUCUCAAAUAGAUGAAGAUUUAAGUUCUUCUUUUGUUGUCACCGGGGAGCUUGAGAAUCUAGUCUCCAAUAAUCAUUUGGCUAUUGAGAAAUUGUCUUUGUUGACUGACUUCCUUGUUAAGCAUCCUUCAGUUCUUCUAAGGGACACUUCAUUGAGUAGCAGAUACAAGGGUUAUGCCUACAACAGCCUAGCAGAGCUAUUGAAAUUCCUUCAAACUCAUAGUGUGUUGGAUGUGUUAGGUUCAAGCAACUCUGAAUUUGUUGAGUUAUUACAAGAUGUGCGUAGAUUUCCGUUUGAUAAGGAGUGGUUGGAUGAUGUUGAAAUGCGCGCUUUGUUUCCUGAUUUACAAUUCUCUCAAAAUGCAUUGCAAAAACUAUUGGAUUCCGAGCAGCGUGUCACGAAAGAAGUUGAAGAGAUGCGUUUAAAGAUAAACAUUUUUAAUCAACAUCUUGAAGAUCUUAAGCAUCAAUUGACAUCCUCUGAAGCUGAUUUGGAGACUAUCAUUCAACAGAAAGCAAAAAUUUUAGAAACUAAGGCUGCUUUAAGUGCCCCUCUCGGCUAUUAAACUAUCGUUUGUUCUUGGAUUGGAGCUUUUUAUCAUUAAAUAUUGUUUAUUUCUUUGCUAUUUUCUGCUUUUCUCAUUUGAAAUGAGCUACUAUGCGUAUUUUUAAAUUGUUAUCGAUUAUUAUUGUUGUAUCAAACAAAGGAAACACCAAAUUAAGAAUAUUGGAAUCGCAUAAUGUUGAAGUGGAGCUAUGAUUCUUAAUUACAACAACCAUUAAUAUACUUACAACAAGCUACCAUAACUUUUGUUUACAUUGCGUUGUUGCUAUAAGAUAUAUCUGUUUCUAAAUUGUCACAACUACUCUGUAAUUAAAUCACCUCUGUUCGAACCCUGAGAAUGUAGGGCUUGAAACGUAACAAGGGAGAGCUUUAUCGUUAAUAUGUAGUCAUAUUCGAUUAAAGGAUUGCAAUACUCACUUUAUAUACCCAAAAAAAUAACCUCCAGUUUUAUCCAUCAUCUUUUAUUUUAUGAAAUUAUCUACCAUCUUUCUCUUAUAGUGAUCCCAUGUCAAAUUAAUAAAAUCUAGUCUGUAUGGACCUUCAUGACCGUCCGUGGCUAUAAUCUAAGAUGUGGGUCUUUGGCCUCUGCUCCCAGAAUAUGUGAUUUGGUUGUCAGAUCUCUAACAACAAACCUAAAUGUCGACUCAUCGUAUGCACACUCCAUCAACCGAAAUGCUGAAAAUGUCCCCUGAUCUUAAAAGAGGCACACAUGUUGAAAUAUAACAUUUGAACAAUCGUACUCCUCCAUCUACAGGCUCACAUCCAUUGCAACAUGUCUCCUCAAUGUUAUUACCACCCAAUAUGGAUGUAUUAGUGGUAUUUUUCUGCAUUUUAUCGCAAGAAACUUUGCAGCGUAGCCUAGUAAUAUGUUAGUGUGUAGCCUCUAAAGAUUGGAUAGAUUGUUCAGAUUUUUCAUCUCAGAACUUUUGAAAGGGCUAAGAAUAAAGUUGUCUGUUGUAUGUGAUUAGCUUGGAGCUAUUCUUGGAAAAGGGGAAAAGAAAGCAUUGUAUACAGCAAUUGAUGCACUUGGUACACCAGAAAAUUUGGAGAGGCUUUAUUUAGAGGUUCAAGCACCAAAUACCAAUCCAUCAUGCAAUUGUAUCUACAUGAACAUGAUCAUCCAGUAACUCAUAGGGACCUCAAGUGUGAUAUAACAUACUUGUCAAUGGACAUCUUGGACAAGCAAAAAUUGGUGACUUGGGAUUUCCAUACAUAAACAAUUUUUAACUUUUAAUGUUCAAGGUAUGCUACCAGCAACACUUUUCUGAUUUGAAGAUGCAAAAGCAUUGGAGUUUAUUGGAAAAUGCCUAGUGAAUUAUAUGUUUUAUUCUAAUAUAUUUCCACUUUGUUAAAAAUAACCAAGUUGACUUUGAAAUUUCACAAGAAUCUCUGAAUCUCUCUCUUUGAGGUUUCACAAUUUUACUGUUUUGAGCCGCCAGGAAUCAAUCAAUUGGUUGGUAGGUUAGAUUCCAAAUUCAUAUGAAAAGCAAAGUGUGAAGAAGCAUAAACCAGUUAUUAUAGUAUUAGUGAAUUACUUUGUGAAUCAACGUCCCUAUAAUAUGACAUACUAUCUAACUGAUGGUAUCUAACCUUCUUAUCCAACUUUCGUCAAAUCAAUUAGAUUUCCUCAAAGUGAAUCCGAUAAGUUAUUUGCAAAACAUCAGGAGAGCUGUCGGAAGGACAUCGAACGUGCUUUUGGAGUGCUUCAAGCUCGAUUUAAAAUCAUCCGUGAACCAGCUCGCUUGUGGGACAUAGCCGAUUUGGGUAUCAUCAUGAGGUCAUGCAUCAUAUUACAUAAUAUGAUUGUUGAGGAUGAACGAGAUACAUAGGUUCAACGUUGGACCGAUUUUGAGCAACCUGAGGGAAGUGGAUCUAGUACACCGCAACCAUACUCGACCGAGGUGUUACCAUCUUUUGCAAAUCAUGUGCGUGCUAGAUCCGAGUUGCGUGAUUCAAAUGUUCAUCACGAAUUGCAAGCAGAUCUAGUGAAGCACAUAUGGACAAAGUUUGGAAUGUAUAGUGAUUGAAGAUGAUUUGUAUUGUACUAAAUAAAUUCCUUGUGUGUUGUAUGUUUAGUUUAUUAUCUUGCAUUUUAAGUUAUUUGUGUGUCACGUGUUUAGUUUGUUGUCUUGCAUUUUAAGUUAUUUGUGUGUCUCAUUUUAAGUUAAGAAAAUAAAAAUAAAUUAUUUUAUAAAAUUUUGUUUUUCCAAAAAAACUAAAAAAUAAAUAGUUAAUUGUAUUAUUUUAAUUUAAUUAUAAUCGAUAAUUUUAGGGCUAAACUACACUUUUCGCCCCCUAUGUUUCAAAAUGUUGCAAUUUUGGCCCCCUAUUAAAAAAAAUGGCAAUUUUGGCCCCUUUCAUCCAAAAAUUGCUGAGAAGACGCCACGUGUCCCAAAAAAAGGGCCAUAAUCGCAACUUUUUGUAAAGAUAAGAGGUCAAAAAGCAUAUUUCCCUUAUGUUAGGAGGUCAAAAGAGCAUAUUUCCCUAAACAUAUGGGGCAAAAGGUGUAGUUUAGCCUAAUUUUAGGUAAUUAUAAAAACAAAAAUAUAAAAUUAAAUAAAAAUAAGAAAUAAAAGGUGGUGGGGUAGAGUGUUGACUGAAAAAACCAUUGGAGAGGCAAAAAAAUUGAAUGAGUGUUGAAUUAUGAGAGAGAAAAUUAUGUAGAGUGUUAGAAAUUGAAAAAGUGGGUGUUGAAGGGUAUUGAAAUUUUUUUACCAUUGAGAAUGGUCUUACUUAAAACCAAAUCGUGACCAUUGGUUGGUUUAGUUCUUGUGUAAUCAAUCAAUAACUGAAGCUUUAAAUCAACGACAAGACUUGACUAGCUAGCUAGCUGUGAGCCUGUGAAGUCUCUGAAUAAUUUAAUUGAACAUUUACUUUAUACGUUGGACCAUAAGUUUGUUAUCAGAACUACAAUAUCAAAUUAUUCACUUAAUGCUGAUUGCAGAAACAGCUCUGCUAAUUUAAUGCUAGCUACUGUCCAGUUGUUGAGAACAGAGAAUUGAUACAAUUGCAGCACAUCUUCCGCCUAUGGUAAUUUCUCUUUUAUCUUCUCCUUCUUACAUGCAAACAUAAUAAUAACUACCACUUUAUUAUUGCAUAUUUGCAUUUAUGAAAAGUUAUAACAAUCUCAGUAUGUUUUCUAAAAUUAUUGGAAAGACUGUCUAGUUGUUGAACCAUAAUUAUAUUUCUACAACAGAGUUGUUGCAGUAAACACUACCUCGCUACUGCAUAUUGGAGAAUGAUCUUCAACAUUUGCUGAAACUGCUGGAACUAAGGUAAUCAUACUUUUAACAAUUUUAAUUAAUUUCUUAAGUUUUAUAAAUCAACUUGAGUUUUAUGCUUUUGUAUUAUUUUUUAGAGAACACCAACUUGAAUGGAUAAGGAUUGAAUCAAUCAAACAUAGUCUAUCUGUAAUAAAUUUUCUGUUCAAGCCAUGUUAUCUUUUCUUUUCAAACUAAGAGCUUAAAACCUGAAGCCUGCUUCCAAGUCAAAAUCCUCAAAAAUGUCCUCUAAUUUCAAGCAUUGAAAAAAGGGGAAAUAACAGUGGAUUGAUACAUACUGACGUAAGUUACAAAAACUUCAAUAUUUUAGAAAGCUACUACAUUGAUUAAAUAAAAGUUCGAUAUCCACUAUGAAACACUAACAGGAGAGGAGAGCCUUACCAUUUUGUAAAUGAUAUGAAAGGAUUAUUUAAUAAGUUGCAACAAUGCAAGGUCCUAUCUUUUAACUACGCACACAAUAUGCCAAAACUAUUUUGUAAAAGUUAUUGACUCUGCAGCUUUUGUUUGCUGCGGAACAUGAAUUACUCCUAAUUCUCUUGAUUGAAUCUUUAAUAUUGGAUGGACUCCCUGUUUCAAAUUACUUUGAUGAAAAAUGUGUCAUCAAGUAUCAUUUUUCAAAUGAACAGACUUCGAACGAAGAAAAUCUUACUACACAAAAAAAUUCUUUGAUGAAAAGUGUGUCAUCUACUAUCAUUUAUCAACCAUUUUAUUUCUCAAUACACAAUACAACACACACACACAAACAUAUAUAUGCCUAACUUUGAUCUAUUGAAAUUUAUUUAGAUGGCGAGUUUUCUGACUGAUUUGGCGAAGCCUUAUGUAGAUAAAUUGAUAAAUGGGGCGAUUGAAGAGUCAAGUUAUAUAUGUUGCUUCACGUGCAUUGCUAAGGAUUUUGAAGAAGAAAGAGCUAGACUAGAAGUAGAAAGGACGAAGAUGUUUAAGUUACUGCUCUUUCUUGGGAAGAAGAAGCCGAUAAGCUUAUUCAAGAAGACACAAGAACAAAACAAAAAUUACCACCACUUCACUUUCUAGAAGUUGUUUUAGGAAAUUCUGACGAUGCCAACAUGGUACUAGGGUUUAUGAGAUCCAAAGGCGCUGCCUUUUACUACCCCCACCGGACCAUGGGUUCCGGUGGUCUUGCCGACUCCUGUUUUCUUCAUCUUUUUGCUUUGCUGAAAGCCUUGGAGAGAGCAAAUGGAUUCGUUGUCAAUAUUGAUGAUCCGGAAUCUGUGCUUAACUUGAUCGCUAUGCUGAGAGACUUCCAAUUUGAUGGUGCUUGGAUUGAUGCUUUGGAAAAAGUUGUGAAAGAGUCCAUUGGUGUGUCAAACACUAAACUAGCAAGUUUGGAAAAGGCCAAGGGUCAAUCGGCCAUGAGGCUUGGACAAGCAACACUGAUUCGUGAUUAUCAUCAAAAACAAAUGGAGUUAGAGCAAGGCAAAAUUCUCUCACUUGACUUGGAGCGUGAAAGGAUCUUGAAGUUUAGGCAGGAACUUAACAAUGUUCGUAUGAUUUAGGUUGGGAAUUUGUUUUUUAGCACCUUUUUCAAGAUCCUGCCUAAACUUCAAGAUCCUUUCACGCUCCAAGUCAAGUGAGAGAAUUUUGCCUUGCUCUAACUCCAUUUGUUUUUUAUGAUAAUCACGAAUCAGUGUUGCUUGUCCAAGCCUCAUGGCCGAUUGACCCUUGGUCUUUCCUAACUUGCUAGUUUAGCGUUUGACACACCAAUGGACUCUUUCACAACUUUUUCUAAAGCAUCAAUCCAAGCACCACCAAAUUGGAAGUCUCUCAGCAUAGCGAUCAAGUUAAGCACGGAUUCCGGAUCAUCAAUAUUGACAACGAAUCCGUUUGCUCUCUCCAAGGUUUUCAGCAAAGCAAGAAGAUGAAGAAAACAGGAGUCGGCAAGACCACCGGAACCCAUGGUCCGAUGGGGGUAGUAAAAGGCAGCGCCUUUGGAUCUCAUAAACCCUAGUACCAUGUUGGCAUCGUCAAAAUUUCCUAAAACAGCUUCUAGAAAGUGAAGUGGUGGAAGAUUGGUUGCACCAAUCUCGACCACCGUCGCCACGGUGGAGUGGAGAAAACGGAGGACCUCCGUUACGGCGGCGAGCUGGAGGAGUAACCUGAACCCAAACAUCAAAUUUAAAUGAUUCACAUUUCCACAUUUGGAAAAACUUGAACUCAAUAACUGCGGGGACGGUAAAAUCAUCAAGGUAUCCCUAUUUUGUAUAUCUUUGUUAUUCGUGAAUCUAAACUUGAUGAUUUUAAGUCAGCAUAUAUUUUUAAAUGAAUAAUGUUCAAGCCUGCAAAAAACAUUAAAAUUCAAAGGAUGAUUAAACAUGCGGAUUUUUUAAACAAGUAAUUUUAUGUUGGGACAAAAAAGAAAACAUAAUAAUUUUAUGUGAACUAAAAACAUUUAAUUUUUUUAAACAAAUACAUUUUUUUAGAGUGUGUCUACUAAUAUGCACCUCUUAAAAUUGGUUCAAGGGUGGUUUACUAUAUUUAGUAAACAAUGAGAUUUAUAUUAAUAAAAUAUGAAGAACAGAAAAAAUAUUUUAUUAUAAUUUACUAAAAUAAAGAAGGGUCCACCUUUGGAUGGUCCAUAUUAAAUAUUAGAAAAAAUAGCGAGUUCAUCUAUCUGAGAACUCUUAUUUAUAGAGAAGAUGAACUAAGUGGUUGCCACUUAAGUGAAAGAAUAAAAAUGAGAAAUAUAUAAAUAAAAAUAAAGAGAUACAAAGACCAUGCAGACAUUAAACAUAUUCCUGGUACAACCAAGCUGAAAAUAAAUCAUGGAAAUACAAACCAAAUAGAUCAACCUUAAUCAAUCCUAACAAAACAAUCACUCAUUACGAACGCAACUCAGUGAACUCGCGUACGGGUAUGAAAUCAGGUUACAAAAAAAAUGACGAGUAAGCGUCUGUAGGAUCAAACAAGGUUCAUAAUUGACGAAUGGAUUGGCCGCAAACGUGGUAUCAAGAUUCAUGUACCAACAACCAUUGAACAAAGCAAUAGGCAUAAAAGCUCUUUUGAGCAUAACAGUCUGAUCACAAUCAAAAAGACUAAGAUGGAUAAGAAGUCAGUACUAGAGAGUAGCCCGCCCGUCUUCAGUCUUGCAGAUCUCAACAAACGUGGAAUAUCAGAGAAUCAAGCAAGCACAGAAACACCAAAUCAACCGAUUUCAAAGACGUGUUUGAUCUCAGAUCGAGGGAUGAGUUCAAUAUGUUAGUAACCAAACAACCCUUUUGAGUUAAGACAACCAGACCCUUUCGGGUUUGAGAAUCCAAGCCACCGCAAAAAAGGCCAUAUCUAUUGCCACCACCCACUCUCAUAACAGAAACACACGGCAAACACACAAAACAAAAAUGAACAACAACACAGACCAAAACAAACAACAACACAAAGCAAAAAUAAAAAAACGGUGAAACAAGUUGAACUUAGGUUUGCAAUUUUUGUAAUAAAGUGCAACAAGUUGAAAUAUGUAUUUCCAAUCUCCAUAUGUAAAGAGCUUCCUGAGCUAAAUGUUCUGAUGAUAAGAGAAUCAGAUGAGCUAGAGGAAAUAUUUGUAAUUGAAGGUGAUGAUCAGAAAGUGAAGAUUCCAAAUCUAGAAUGUGUAGUAUUUGAAAAUCUACCAAUCCUCAGUCAUGCCCAGAGAAUUCAAUUUCAAGCUGUAAAAAAUCGUUUCAUACGGAAUUGUCAAAAACUCUCUCUGGAAUCAACAAAAAUACAUGCCUUGUCUGCUUCAUAUUUUCGCAACGGUACACACUCUAUCCAAUAUUUUUAAAAACUAUUACAUGUUUGCUGUAAAUUAUUACAUACGAUUUGUUUAAAGGAGCGGUAAGAGGUAUGCAUGCAUAAGUAUUUCUAAAAUGUAAGGGCUCAUGUAGUGACCUAUCUAAUAGAAGCUUUGAUUUUAUGUAAAAUUUAAUUAUUAGGUAGAUUGAUAAACAAUUUUGUGCAUCUUUAAACUUGAAAAUGGUGAUAUACAAUUGAAAGUGGAAGUUUUUAUUUUAUUAUUAUGCUUGAGUUACUAUAUAAUGAUGUUAAUCUCUAUAUUAUUUUGCUGUAGAUCCUGAAUUGUGUAGGUAUUUCAAGACUCUGUUUCGACAACAACUACAAAAAGAGACCAAAGGCAACAAUAGUGGUAAUGAAAAUCCAGAAACCUCUAAAAAAAUUGCCGUUGGGGUUGAAGUUAAAGCAUCAUCAGAACAUGAGCUGACUUCUCCAAAGGUCAAUACCGAUCUAUUGAUUCAAGCUUACCGCACCAGAAUUUAAUCAACGUGACAAUGUAUUUGAUUCAACCAUGCUAUUUUUUGUGCAGAAAAAAAUGAAACGGACACCAGAGACAGAGCAUGAACUUGUGGAAAAUGUUCCCGAUUUAGAAAUACCAACAAAUUCAAAAGUGAUUUCCAGGCCAUGUCAAACUGCGUUAGAAUUUUAAUGGAUGUAAUUAAUAGCUGAAGAUCAUUAUUGCUUCUGUUCUUGUUACAGGAGUUGAUGAAUGAACAAUCGAUGGAACAGCAACGUCUACUUGGAGAACCUGAUACUACCAUCAAACUCUGUUGUCAAUAGCGGCCUAACGCGGCGCGGUCGCGUUGCGCGUUAGGCAAAAGCGGCUGAAAACCGGGUUUUGCGGCCGCUUUUCGUGGAGCGGGAGCGGGUCUAGCGCGGCACGUUUCCGGGUCGAAGCGAAAUUACAGAAUUACCCCUCACUUAAGUGACAUUAGAAAGGUUAAUUUUGUAAUUUUCAAAGCCCUAUUUCUUCACUUCAUUCCAUCGUACAGAGAACAGCCGCUUCUUUUCCUCUUCUCCCAAUUCAAUCGUACAACACUAUUAGGUUUUCACUUCAUCUCUUCACUUCAUUCCAUCAUCUCUUCACUUCAUCUCUCAGCUGCUCAGAUCUUUCACCUCAUCCAUCAUUCCAUAUCUCAGCUGCUCAUAAUUAUUGAAUUCGAAGUUUUAUUUCAUGUUUAGUACUUUUGUUACUUUAAGCUUUAGAGGCUUAAAGUGUUUGCUACCUUGAAUUUUAUUAGUAUUUCUUGCAAGUAUGUUCUUAUGUUUUGCCUAAGACAUGUUUUAUUUCAAAUUAUGAAUUGAGUAAUAUUUAAGUUGUUUUAGUAUUUCUUUUUCAACAUUAUAGUAUUUUAGUAUUAAAUAUAUUAGUGUCCGCGUCAUGUAAUAGCGCCCGCGUCGCGCCCGCAUACCGCACCGCGUCAAUUUUUGGUGUGGCCGCGCCGCGUUUCCGCUUUGACAACAGAGCCGUCAAACCUUCUCAGGUAAAUCAUGUAAUGUCGUAACACCGCGUUGUGCAUAUAAAGCUAAAAAUGAAAUACCGAAAGAAACAUAUUUUAUUUCAAGUGAAUCUUACAAAUAUGCACAACUAACUAAUUUACCUUUCUAUUGUAUACAAUUAGUUGGAGGUGUCUACCAUUUCAGAACCAAAGAAUGUAGCAGAAACGUGUUCCACCAAUUCACCAACAAAGAAUUAGCCACCUAUACAAGUAGUUACUCCUUGCUAGUAUUCUUUUUGACACUUUGUCUAUGCAGGAAUUGACUUAUACUACAAUCUUAAACAUCUUUUUAAUUUUAAGCAGGUUAGCGAAAUAAGUGUUGAAGAAGGAACUACUUUAUGGAUGAUGAUUUGUCCAUUCUCUCCUUCCGAAUCUUUCGUCCUUUUCGGUUUGACAACAGAUAUUAAGAAAGUACAAAAUUAGACAGGUUUAGUCCAUUUUAUUCGUAAUCCAUUCAAUGCAUGCUUUCGGUUUUUUGUAAGUGUGCAAAAGAAAAAACAUCUUUCAUUAUAUUUGGUUUCCUAAAAGAACCAAAAUUUUGGGACAAAAAUAAAAACUAAAAGAACCAAAGAUCAAGUACGGACGGAGUAAUAUGUAUUGAGGCUAAUCCAAAAAAUCAUAUUAAGACUUCAUGAUGAUAUCAUUUGUAUGUUUGAAUUUUUGUAGUAAUAUAGUGACGGCGAAAUGGCCAUAUCUUCUCCUCCAAUUUCCAUGACAAGGCAUUUUGCCACUCCAGACGUUCAUGUUAAUAACUUGCAGGAAACUAGUAACACUAAUGAUGAUCAAGGUGAAGACUCUUUGGAUCAAUUUUAUUUUCUUAAGUUAUCUCAUCACCCUUUUCAUUUUGAAGUUUAAAUCUCUUCUCUCACACCUUUUGUUCAGUUUCUCUAAAUGACGAUGCCGUCAUAAAAGUAACCUCAAUUGUUGAGGAACGAUAUUCUAAGGAUGUCGAAUUUGAAGUUCUAGAAUCGAAGCCCGCCCUUAUCAUUCCUUCGCCUCAAGCAUUUCAAUCUCCUUCGAUGCUAUCCGGAGGUAUAGAUUUUCUCCCUUCAUUUUAUUUUUUAGAACAUUACUUGGUACUCAGAGAGGACUAAUUAUCCUUUUCUAUACUUUCAGGGGACCCUUCUCAACUAGAUGAAGAAUUAGUAAGUUCAUCAUGAGGUCCAUUUUUUCAUUAAUAAUUGCCAUUCGAUAGGUUUCCUAUGAAACAAGAUUUAAACUAAUUUUUUUAUAAAGAUUUUUUUUUUUUAAGUCUAUUGCUUCCGAAUCUUAUAUCCAAAGUUAUGGAGAAUCGUUGCUCAAUAUUUGUAGAUGCUUAACACUGAAAUUCUUGUUUUCUAUUUUUAAUUUUAUUCGUAGUGGAAUCAGACUCUUGCAAAAUAUAAUAUAUGGUGUAAAAUAUAGUGAGGUUGAUCCAUUAUAAGAUAUGAUAUAUCAUUUAGUGAUUUAAAUCUGUGUAGGAAGAUCUUGAUGACCAAAUGGACAUGACUUCUUUUUCCAUUGCUACUACAGAGACCAAUGAUGAAGGUGAAAAUGCUUUGAAUCUAUUUUUAUAUUCUUAUCUUACUUCGAUAUUCAUCGCCCUUUUGAUUUUGAACUUUAUCCUCUCUCACAAUUUGUAUAGUUUCUCGAAAUGAUGAUGCUUUCAAGAAAGUAAGCUCAAAUAUUGAGGAACAAUUUCCUAAGAUUGAUGAUAUAAUAGUUUCCAAAUCUAAACCCUCUCCUUGAAUCACGUCUUUUGUUGCAUCUUUUGUUGCAUCUGAGUUUCCUCUGGUGUCUUCUAAAGGUAUUUUAUUGCUUGCAUUUAAUUUUUAACUAACUUUGGUGUGCUCAAGUAGGCUUAAAUAUUCUUUCCUAUACUUUCAGGGGACCCUUCUCAAAAAGUAGAAGAUUUCAGUUCUUCUUUGCAUGUCAAGAGGGAGCUUGAGCAACUAGUCUCCAAGAAGCAUUUCGAUUAUGAUAACUUGUCUUUGUUGACUGAUUUCUUUGUUAAGCAUCCUUUGGUUCUUUUAAACGACACUUCAUUGAGUAACAGAUACAAGGGUUAUACCUACAAUUGUCUAGCGGAGCUAUUGAAAUUCCUCCAAACUCAUAGUGUGUUGGAUGUGUUAGGUUCAAGCCACUCUGAAUUUGUUGAGUUACUACAAGAUGCACGCAGAUUUCCAUUUCAUAAGGAAUGGUUGGAUGAUAUCGAAAAGCGCGCUUUGUUGCCUGGUUUACAAGUCUCUCAAGAUGCAUUGCAAAAAUUGUUGGACUCAAAACACAUUUUGACUCAACAUGUGGCGGAUCUUAAGCAUCAAUUGGCUUCCUCUGAAGCUGUUUUGCAGAACAUCACUCAACAGGAGGCACAAAUUUUACAAACUCGGGCUGCUUUAAGUGAUCCUAUUGGCUACUAAACUAUUUUUUUCCAUACAUUCGUUCAAGAUGUUCCCUGCUUCUCUUUAUCCUUGAAUAUUAUUUAUUGCUUGGGUUGUUUUUCUGUUUUUCAUUUCAAAUGAAUUAAACAAAUCUUAUUGAUUGUUGUAUCAUUGUAUUAUUGAUAUCUUCCUUAUUUCGAAUAAGAAAACACGUUGAACACAUUUUGCUAUGCUAUACACCACUCAUCAAUCAAUAUGCAUCAAAUGCAUCCUAAGAUUUGGAUAAAUAUUGGAAAAUAUCAAAUAGAAUUUCAUAUUCAGAAGAUUAUCCAAACUAGUAUAUACGACAAACAAAAUGUGACUAAGAGAAAAGUUGGGAUCAAACAACAAAAAAAAUACUGGGAUACAGUUUCAAUAUGCAGAGAUGAUGAACGAAUUUAGUUUUGUAGAUUCAAUAGCAUGGUUGUUAUAAGUUACAGACGGCACCUGCAGUUGCAGCUGCAAUAUAAAGGUUUUUAAAGUCCUCCUAAUUAUAUUACAACCACAAUGUAGACAUAUUAGUGGUAUUUUUCAGAAUUUUAUCGCAAGAAGAAAGUUCUAAACGUAACAUGGUAAUAUGUUAAUGUUUAGUGUAGCCUCUAAAGGUCAGAUAGACUGUUCAGAUUUUUCAUCUCAGAACUUUUGAAAGGGCUAAGAAUAAAGUUGUGUUGUAAGUGAUUAGGUUCGAGCCAUUCUUGUACAAGGGGAAAUGAAAAACAGUGUAUAAACAAUGUCUAGUAAUUAUAUUCCAUCAUUGCUACUUUGUUAUGCUUUCCAUUGUGGGAACAUUUGUACUUCAAUAUUGUUCAUUUCUUGGGUGUAACGUUUCGUCGUUUCUCAUCCGAAGUGAACUAAAGAGUCUCAUUAUGUUUGUGUAUUUAAAACUAUUAGUGAUUGUUGCAUGUUACAUUGAUGAAGUUAUUUUACUGAAUCUUUCAUACAAUAUUGAUUGUGUUUGGGUGUAUUUAAAUAAUGCACCCAAACCCCAAUAUAUAUAUAUAUAUAUAUAUAUAUAUAUAUAUAUAUAUAUAUAUAUAUAUAGGACAUAUACUAUGAGAAUGUCAUUUUUAUAUAAUUGUAUCGUGUCAUUAGUAUUCCUUUUUUGAACACUACUAAAAUAGAAUUUUGAUUUUCUUUUUUAUUUUGUAACAAAAAAAUUGAAUUUUGAAUUCCUCAUGGAUCAAGCUUCGUAGAACAUUUGCUCAGAAGAAAAAAAAAGUUUCUUAGAACAUAUCCUUUUUUUUAAUUUAUCUUCCUAUAAAGUCUAGAUAAAUGCAUGCAUGCACAUUAUAUGAACCUCGUUGAUCAAUUAACAUUUUUGAAACGAAUGGAAAUUAAGCAUCACUCCCUCAUGUGCAUCUAUAGCUAGCACCAUUUGACAUUGAUGUCUUCGAACAUUUGGUGCAACUCUCAUAAUACCAUCCAAACUGGUUAGGAUUGAAUUUAGUUGUUUUUCAAAUAGUGAUGCAAUAUGUAUCCUAACACAAAUUAUGCACAUGAAAUAAAGAAUAAUGCAAUAUGUAUUUUUAAUUUGUGCGUCAAAAAAACACAAAGCAUGUUUGUGCAUAAAAAAAGCAGACCUUGACUAAGUUUAUAAAUCAGCAAUUGGCCUAACCUAAGACAGAUUGGAAAAAUCGUUGUACGUUGAGAAUAAGCCGAACUCUGACUUAAGUUCUGACUGAUGCUUUGACUCUGAGCUUGAGAAGUGUGAAGGUCAUGAGUCAUGACAACAAUUUAAGAAACAUGGUCAAAAAACAAUCAAAUCAGAUUGUGAAAUAAUAAGUUAGCAUGAGCUAAAAUUCAAUCAUCAUGACUGAAGGUGAGAAAAACACAAGAAGGGGGGUUGAAUUGUGUUUUCUUUUUCUCUAAAAAAUACUGUUAUCUUGAUUUUGGGGUGUCAAGUCAUUAAUUAGGCUUGAACCUUUCAAUCAUUGAUAAUCUCUAUUUUUUUUCUUGGGAAGGGUAAAAUUGAGAAAACCCUUAGAAACUCUAAGUUCGGGGGUCGUUUUCGUUACGGGAAGGUGUUAGGCACCCGCAAUGACUAUAGUACUCUAUCGGAACCGUUUUCCUAAUUUUAUGUCUACGCUUUAUUUUUAAUGCUAUUUAUUAAAAAAGGAAGUUGUUUAUGUUAAGAAUGGGGGGAGGAGUGUUUGGAUUUUUAUUUUAUUGAACUUGGAGAGGUUUUGACCUCUUGCCUACAUACCCUUUUAAGGGAUCAAAAUUUCAUGUAGUUCUCUUUCAAAAAAUGUUUUUGUGUGUUUCAAUUGAUUUUAAGUUUUUUGGAAAUGGGUUUUGAAGAAAGGAAAGAAGCCGUGAAGGCAUGAGAAAAAAUGGUGAGUGGUUGGUUCAAUUAUUAAGAAAAGAGUCUAUGUUGGAAUUAAAGUUCAUUUUGAGUUUCUCUUAAGAAAAUAAAGGGAAAAUUCAAUGGAGUUUUGACUCCAAGGUUUAUUAGGAAAAAAAAUUUCAAGUGAUGGAAUUUGCUUAUUUUUAAAAAAGAAGAAUAUUUUUCUAAGUAUCGCGUUCCCUAAGCAUACAUCUAAAGCGGUAAAUCAUCAUACAACGUGUGUGCGUGUCGGUGCUUGUAUCGGUGUACAUCAUUAGAGUCCAUUGUCCAUUACAUAGGCCCUAGUUUACAUUCUAUGGUCUUGCAAGAAUUUAAAAGAAAAAUUGAAACUACCUAAAUUUACAUGCCAACUUUAACAUAGAAAUGAAUAGUAAAAGACCUAAACUAUAAGAAAUGGAGAUGAAAUGAUAGAAUGCUUAUGAGGUGAAUGAAACAAGAAAUAAAAAUGGUUAGUAGAAUAGGGCAUAAAAUGAUAGAACAAGUUAGCAAAGAAAUACGAGAUAAACGGUAAAAACAACAACAAUAACCAAAAUGUAAAAAGUACACAUUACUUGCAACACAAGAAAUUAACAAAUCACAUUAAAAAUAGUACAAACAAACACAUGAUCAGAGACAUAUUCACCACAAAAUUGCAUAUCAAUCAUUCAUAUCGUGCCAAGACCUCAUGAACAAAUUAUGGCAAGAAAAUUCACAAGUUUAGUCAAAAAAUGAACAAAUCAACAAGAAAACAUUACAUAUAUUUUUUAUCAUUUUUUAACAUGUAAAAACAUCACAAAAAUGUUAAAAAUGCAUCAAGAAACACAUAGAAAUUUUUUUAGGAAUUUUUGCAAGAAAAUUAGAACAAACAGGGGUUCAAAUAGCAAGACAGCAAGGUGCAAAUAGCAAGAAUACUAACAAGAAAAAAAGGAAUCUGCGCAGAAGGAGGCCCAAGCCCAAAACCUAAGGCCUGGAUGCACAGGGAGCGUUGGAUUGAUCCAGGGAGGGAAACCCUAGAUCCAACGCUCAGGAUUGCAGGGGAUUGGACCGGUCUUGAACCGGUCCGGUCUAGUGGUCUAUAUAAGCAAGCCUACACCGGUUCAAUCACUUUGCUAUGUUCUUUCUCUCUCUUCUCUCAUCCUAGUGAGAGAUGCUCUCGCCUCUCUCUUCUCUUCCUCCGCCGGUUUCUGGAAUGAGCGGCCGGAGAAGAUGAAGAUCUGGCCGGAACCUUCAUAGGUCCGCCGGAAUCUUCAUCUUCUCCGGCGAGAUCUCCAGUUUUCCGGCAACCUCUAAUCUCACCAGAACUUCGAAAAUUUUACAACAAACUCUUCGUUUCUUCAUCCUAAACAUGAUUCUAACACUGGUUUUCACAAAUAAAGCUUGAAUCAACGUAGAUCUAAAGAUUUUGCUACGGUUUUGAAAGUAUUUUUAGGUUUUUCAGUUUUUUGAAAGAAACUCUUUGAAACUUUGAAGAUCUACAUUGAUUCGUUCUUGUUAUUGUUCUUGAGAAAGGAAAAUGAAGAUUCAAGUGUUACCUGUGAUUUAAUCGGAGAUUUCGAACGAAAAUCUUCGGAAAACUUCGAUCUGAUUCUGUUUCGUUGAUUUCGUUCUUGAAUCCGAAAAUAAAUCGGUGUUCUGGCUGGUUCGAUUCUUUCUUCUUCUUCACCGGUUCAAAUUCUUCUUCUUUUCCUCUUCCUCUUCACUGAUUCUCUGUGAUCGGUGCUUGAGUUUGCCAAUGGCGAAUUCGCGCCUUGAAUUGCAGAGAAUCCGGUUCAAUGAUGAUGAUUGUUUGAAGAAUCACUGAGAACUGAACGAAUUUAGUUGAAAUUGUUGAUGAAUUGUGAUUCUGGAAUUCUAGGGUUCAUGAAUGUUCUUCAUGUUCUUGAUAGUUUCUGAGUUUUUGAUCUAACUGAAUGGAGAGAGAAACUGUGAUUCUGUUUGUUGAGGUGGCGUGAAUUGUGUGGAUCCUCUGGUUUGUGCAGUGAAUGCACCUUUUAUAGGCUGUCAAGUGUGCUUGAGACCCAAUGGGAGAGGGACACCUGUUUUUUGGACUUAGGGACCUCUCUGCAAAAAAGAAAAAUUGAAGGAUUGGACUGUAAUAAAAAAAAUGGACUAAAAUGCAAUU
This 60439-nucleotide long non-coding RNA is filed under the name Medicago truncatula (barrel medic). Its description in RNAcentral is "long non-coding RNA (MTRU_LNC000782)". The stretch from base 6167 to 6334 matches the Rfam family "MIR2680 microRNA precursor family". The record is from RNAcentral. Lineage: Eukaryota; Viridiplantae; Streptophyta; Magnoliopsida; Fabales; Fabaceae.